UAGAUUUAAAUGUCAAAUUCUAUUACUCUAUCACUAUAAAAAUUUUAAAAAUAGAUAUAUAAUUGUGUGUUAUUUAUACAAUUAUUAUUUCAAAUUCUAUAUAUAUGUUUUGAAAUUGAGAUUGUUGAAAUGAAUGAGCAAAUUGUAGUAAGUUUUUUUCUCUUGUCAAUUGAAAUAUUUAUCUCCAUUGUUUAUGAAUUUUCCUCCUCCACAUAGUUUUUUUUUUUGUGAUGGAUUCGUUUUUCAGUUUUAACACUGUUGUCUAAAUAAAGCUAUAAGAAUGAAUUGUAAAUAAAAAAUACACAUGACUGGCCAUGAUUUCGUUUUGCAUCUUAAAAUUUUAGAAGAAUAAUCUGCAAAUAAAAAUAUACUCCCUCUGUCCCUAAUACUUGUCUACUUUUGAAUUGGCACACCUAUUAAGAAAUCAAUAAUUGACAUUGUGAGUUUACCAUUUUACCCUAUUAAUUAUGAAGUGGAUGAAUUAAAAAUUUAAUAUUUUCAAGAAGUUCUACCUUUUUCAAAAUAAUUAAUUGAGGGUAUAAUAGGUUAAAAAAUUUACCCUUUCUUGAUUUGUCAAAAUAAACAAGUAAUUAGAGACAACUAAAAAAGAAAUUAUGGACAAAUAAUUAGGGAUAGAGAAAGUAUGAAUUUUAUAGAGAUCAAAAUUUAAUUUUAGACCACUAAUUUUGUUAAAUCGCCUCUCUAAAGAGCUCACUAACUGGACACUUUUAUGUCUCUGAUCCAUUUAACACCAAUUUAAUAUUUUUACUCAAAUUCUCAUAAAGGUAAACAUCCUCAUUAAAUUUUCUUGGUAGACGUCUUUCUCAGUUACCAUUAUUCGAUAGUGUCAUUUCUUUUAAACAUUUUCCAUAUCAUCUUUGGUACUUUCGUGGUAUUUUCCUAUGUGAAGAUGAACAGAAGUGGACAAUAAUGUGAGAUCAUCAUCCUCCCAAAUAAAUAUUGCUCUACAGAACAACUAUUCGUAAGACUAUUAUAAUAUAAUCUAACUUUAAAAAAACUUUUGAAAUAUAUGUAUGUUGGAGCAGUUGACAAAUAAAUUAAUAAAUUUUAAAAUACAAUCAUAGUAUGGUUGAUGCAAAUAAAUAUGUUGGUAUGCAUGCAUUUAAUUCGUAGGGCCAUGAAUUUAUGUAAGUUCCCUUUCUCUUAUUAUAUAUAAAAAUAAAGUAAUUUAUAAUCAUAUAAAUUUGUAAUAACUUAUUUUAGAUUAUAAGUUCAAACUUUUUUUAUUUUUUGAAUUUGAACUCAUGUAAAUACUGCACAUUAAUUGAGUAUUGAGAAUUUGAGAUAGAAAGAGUACUUUAUACUUAUAUCGACCACAAAGAGAGGAGCAUCACUAUCUAGCAUAAAAGUUGGUACAAAUCACUAUCUAGCAUAAAAGUGCACAAGUUAGAUCCAAAAAGUUAUACUGUUUAAAAAAGAAUGACUCAAUUUUUUUAUUAGUCUAUUUAAAAAAGAAUGACCCUUUUUAUUUUUUUAUAAUAUUUUAACUUCAAUUUUUUACGUGACAUGUUUAAUGUCAUAAGAUUAAAGGAUAUUUUGGUACAUUUGACAUAACUUUAAUUUAGAGCCACAAGAUUCAAAAGUCUUUUUUUUUUCUUAAACUCCGUUCCAAGUCAAAUUAGGUCAUUCUUUUUUAAACGAAAGGAGUGGUAUAUUUUUUUUUGCAACCAGCUCGUUGGUGUCACAUCUCACACGUGUCUAUGUCAUGCUACUUAUAGUAAUAAUAUUUACUACUAUAAGCCUUAAACGGCGAUAAAUUAGACAAAAAAAAAAAGAGAAUUAUGCUUGCUCUUUUGGGGUAAAGGCUAGUCUAUAAGAAAAUGUCGUGUUCUCCCAUUAUUUACUUUCAGAGUUUUCUUGGAGUGAUUCUUUAGGAUGAGUGGUGUAAAUUUAAGCAUGAAUUCAUCACCAUUCAUAUCUCUGUUGGUCUAUUUUUGAUAACUUGGUCAUGUCAUUCAAGUAAUUACGAUUAAUUAUGAAGUAAGUUGAAAGACAACAAAUAACAAUAAUAAUUACAUAUCUCAUAUAGUUCUACAAGUGGGAUUUGAGAAAAUACAGAUGUACGUAGACCUUAUUUGUAAUUUGACACUCAACACGCAACGAUGUAUUAUCAAUUUACCAUAAAAGAGUAAGUUGAAAGGCAUAUGAAUAAAAUUGACGAAAGUAUAUAUGAUCUAAACAAAACAGCAUAUUAUACCAACAAUCAAGAGAGUGUGCGCAUUACUACCUAGGCAUUAGCUUAAAUUAAUAGUCAUUGUAGUACUUUAUGUACGUAGUACUAGUAGUUAAUUUCGACAACAUUAAUUUGGAGUUUACGAAAAUGCCAGUAUUUUUGGUAAAUAUUCCUAUUUGCUUAGAUCAUAUAAAUAAUAAAUAGUCUCAAACACCGAAAGUCAUGGUGUAAGAAACUUCCUCGAAGUUCAUUUUAACAUAUGUUUUAAUUGAUUUGUAUUAAACAAAAACACUCAAUUAGCUUCAUAUAUGGAGUUCUGUUAUACUUCAUAGCCAUAUAUUAGCAGUGUUAUGUUACGCCAAUUAUUAGCAGUGUUUGAUGUCAUGUUGAUCAGGAAAUGACAUUAUUAUCACCUUUUUCCAAUAAUAUUCGAUCUCUAGGAAAACAAGUUCCUUAAGAAAUGAGGAAAAUGAACUGGCCAAUGAAAAUAGGAAAAAUAAGUUUUAUCAGUGACAUUCCAAGUUGAUUGUGUCCUCUCCACCCUCCAACACACCUCAUCUUUACCCUAACCCCAUAGUCCUCAUCCCCAUCAUCCGACAUCCCUACCUCCCUACCCCACCUUCAUAGUAUUUAUACAAAUGCUUUUAGGAUAAUAGCUUUUGCUUACCUACUGAUCAAUACAAGAAAAUAAGAAAAAAAUUCAACAUUUUUCAUGUCGUACCGAACACACCCUACAUGAAAAAUUCUUAGUUAAGCUAAUUAACAGUUACUAUACUACUUAUUUCUGUUAUGUCUGCAAAAAAGUGAUGAUAAAAGUAAGGCUUUCGUUUUCUAGGAGUGCAAAAGCAAUGCAGCUUUUUGUUGCUAAUAUCUCAAAAGAUGUUUCUUCGAGUCUUUACAGCUCCUAUUUCAAUAUUCCAUUUGUGUAUGCAUGCAAUUUUUAACUCAAAACUAAAACUGUGCUUUGUAAGACGGACGGAGUAGAUAUAGCUGAUUGCACACAGUAAUCCUGAUUCUUGAACACAUACAAAUUGAAAUAAAUGUACAUACGAUGACCCCUUUAUUUCCAACGAAUAUAUAACUGUACAACCGAUCACACCUUUUGUUCCAAUGAAAUAAGUAAAAUGUUCCGAAAGUAGUUUCACACUGUAAGGUUAAAAAGAAUAUUCAUAUUACCAAAAUUGCUUCAGCAUGGGAUGGGAAUUAAGCUGUACAAAGUCGAGUUCAUAUUAAAAUUGAGUAAUUAUGACUCUUCACUGAAAUAAAUAUGAUGUAAUCGAUCAAACACUCACUACAUGCUAUGUACAAUUCUGAGUCAGAAGUAGUACAACAAGAUCUAGAGAAUAAAUAGACUUGUGUCUUCAGCUUUUCAUGAUUCAGCUUGCUGACUUUCUUUCUUUUGGCGCGACUUGUGGUGGAUCCUGGGAAACAGAAGAUCAUUAAGUUGUCUUUCAGCACUAUACUCCGAUGAGGCCUGCAAAAAAAACAUUCUAUUACCUUUUCACGUACACUGGGUAAAAGAAAAAUGCAGGCACACAAGAAUACAAUGAGUGUGUUUGGCAGGGAGGAAAAUAUUUUCUCGAAAAUACCAUGUUUGAUUAGUUUUAACAUUUUGGAAAUGUGUUGGCCUGGCUAAAUGGGCUGGAUCAAGACUGGACUUGGAACAGGUUAAUGGACCAGGUGCAAUGCUGAUCUGUUCCAUUAGCUGAAGCAGGACUACUGGAAGGAAUAGAAGUCCAAUGAACACUAGAAGACUAGAAGAAUCAGAAGACCGAGGAAGUUGGUAAAAGAUCAGAGGUGAACUCCAUCAAAACAAGUGGAUAAAGGAGUGUUGAACAGGAAGGUAUAAAUAAAGAACUCUUUCACAGAAGAAGAUAAGGCACUCACACAACAAGCAACGACAGAACUCAACCAAAUAAGCAAGAGCUAUUGAGAACUCAAGUUUUGACUUAUUUUUCAAAUGCAGCCUCUGAUACAAAGAACCGGAUUGAAGAACUUGCUCAGGCUUAGGAGUCUAUGCAACUGUCAGGUCUAAAGGAUUGAAGAACUUGUCUCAGGCUUAGGAGUCUAUGCAACUGUCAGGUCUAAAGGAUUGAAGAACUUGUCUCAGGCUUAGGAGUCUAUGCAACUGUCAGGUCUAAAGGAUUGAAGAACUUGUCUCAGGCUUAGGAGUCUAUGCAACUGUCAGGUCUAAAGGAUUGAAGAACUUGUCUCAGGCUUAGGAGUCUAUGCAACUGUCAGGUCUAAAGGAUUGAAGAACUUGUCUCAGGCUUAGGAGUCUAUGCAACUGUCAGGUCUAAAGGAUUGAAGAACUUGUCUCAGGCUUAGGAGUCUAUAAAUUCUCGUAUUAGGGUGAUUAUCGAGUUGUAUCUUUUCAGCUUUCCUAGAAGCAAUUGUUUAGGAAUAAACAGAAUUAGAAGUUGGAUUUCAAGUUGGGAUAACUUGAAAAACGAAGUAACUAUCUGCGAAGAUUAUUGCUUUGGGGAUUAGAGUUAGUUCCUAGCUGCAACUCUUGUAAUUUAAAUUAUGUUAAGGCUCAUUGAUUUAGUGGAUUUGGGUCAAAUCCUACAAAGGUGCAGGUUGUGGUUUUUCGCCUCUAUGAGUUGGGUGUUUUCACGUUAAAACGCCGUCUUUACUUCACUGCAAUUAUUAGACUAAUAAAUAGAUAGAAGAAACGUGUAAAGUAACAGGGAUUAUAGCUUAAGCGAAAAUUAGGCAUAACUCACAUGAGUUAUUAGGAUGUGCACAAUAUCAAGGAGGGAAGCCAUUUUCCGUUUACUCUCCCACGUCAUUUCCAACUGAUGGUUUCAGCCCACCCUCAUCCAAAGCCCCCCCCCCUCCACCAACCCCCCACUCCCCCACACCCCCCCCCCCAAUUCANNNNNNNNNNNNNNNNNNNNNNNNNNNNNNNNNNNNNNNNNNNNNNNNNNNNNNNNNNNNNNNNNNNNNNNNNNNNNNNNNNNNNNNNNNNNNNNNNNNNNNNNNNNNNNNNNNNNNNNNNNNNNNNNNNNNNNNNNNNNNNNNNNNNNNNNNNNNNNNNNNNNNNNNNNNNNNNNNNNNNNNNNNNNNNNNNNNNNNNNNNNNNNNNNNNNNNNNNNNNNNNNNNNNNNNNNNNNNNNNNNNNNNNNNNNNNNNNNNNNNNNNNNNNNNNNNNNNNNNNNNNNNNNNNNNNNNNNNNNNNNNNNNNNNNNNNNNNNNNNNNNNNNNNNNNNNNNNNNNNNNNNNNNNNNNNNNNNNNNNNNNNNNNNNNNNNNNNNNNNNNNNNNNNNNNNNNNNNNNNNNNNNNNNNNNNNNNNNNNNNNNNNNNNNNNNNNNNNNNNNNNNNNNNNNNNNNNNNNNNNNNNNNNNNNNNNNNNNNNNNNNNNNNNNNNNNNNNNNNNNNNNNNNNNNNNNNNNNNNNNNNNNNNNNNNNNNNNNNNNNNNNNNNNNNNNNNNNNNNNNNNNNNNNNNNNNNNNNNNNNNNNNNNNNNNNNNNNNNNNNNNNNNNNNNNNNNNNNNNNNNNNNNNNNNNNNNNNNNNNNNNNNNNNNNNNNNNNNNNNNNNNNNNNNNNNNNNNNNNNNNNNNNNNNNNNNNNNNNNNNNNNNNNNNNNNNNNNNNNNNNNNNNNNNNNNNNNNNNNNNNNNNNNNNNNNNNNNNNNNNNNNNNNNNNNNNNNNNNNNNNNNNNNNNNNNNNNNNNNNNNNNNNNNNNNNNNNNNNNNNNNNNNNNNNNNNNNNNNNNNNNNNNNNNNNNNNNNNNNNNNNNNNNNNNNNNNNNNNNNNNNNNNNNNNNNNNNNNNNNNNNNNNNNNNNNNNNNNNNNNNNNNNNAGUCAGUGACGGAUCCAAAAAAUUUAUAUUAUGGGUGCUUAACUAUUUUUAGCUCGGAAAUUGCUACAUAGAAUGGCUGCUCGGUUAAUAUAUUUCAAUAAAUUACUAAAUUCUGUUCUUAAAUAAUAAUGUUUGUCACAAAAGGCAGUGAGUGCUUAAGCACCCAUAAUACAUAAUAUAGGCCCCGCCACUGCCCAAACUCCUUCGCCCCAUCCCCUAAAAGUUAGUUAUGCCAAGUUAUCUAGCGGUUGCGGGUUUCCUUGUCAUAAAAAAUAAAAUAAAAAAUAUUUAUGCUUACUUACCAAAUACCAAAAAAUAUGUGAGAAAAUCACUUAUUUUCCCAUGGAGACCCGAGUACCGACAGUGAGAGGAGACUCGGAGCACUUCCCUGUGUUGAUGGGGUUGCACGUAUUGACACGAUAUAUUCAGGGUGAGGUGUCAUGGUGUGUGUUAUUUGCAGAUGUAGUUUUGAUUGACGAGACUCACAACGGAGUUAACUCUAAGUUGGAUGUUUGGAGACGAAACCUGGAGUCUCAAGGGUUCAGAUUAAGACUGAAUACUUGGAGUGCAAGUUCAAUGAUAUGAUGCAUGAGGCUGAUAUGGAAGUGAGGCUUGAUACGCAGAUCAUCCAGAAGAGAGGUAGUUUCAUCUUGGGUCAAUUAUCCAAGGAAAUGGAGAGGUUGACGAGGAUAUGGUAAAGGGUGGCUGAAAUGGAGGCUUGCUUUUGGAGUCUUGUGUGAUAAGGUGUCACCUAGACUUAAAAGGCAAGUUCUACAAAGUGGUAGUUAGACUAGCUAGCUCUCACAUUCAGAAGAUUAACGGAUGCCGCAACGAUGAGGAGAUGCACGGAUGCCCCAGUGUAGAGGUGUGAGAGAUAGGUUAUUGAUGGAUUCAGGAGAGGUAGAUGUAGAGGUAGAUCAAAGAGAUAUUGGGGAGAGGUGAUUAGACAGGACAUGAGGAAGUUGUAGUUCCGAGGACAUGGCUUUAGAUAGGAAGGUGUGGAGGACACAAAUUAGGGUAAAAAGUUAGUAUGUAUGUAGAAGUGUUUACUACUAGUAGGCAGAAAUAUCUUGUCUUGUUGCCCUUUCUAUUAGUCGUAGGACUACUUUUGUAGUUCCUUGUUCUUUGAUUUCUGCAACUAUCCAUUAUUUCGUGUAGUUUGUUUGUAGUAUUAUUUUGUUAUAGUACCGUUUUGUUACUAUCUGUUGUUUUUGUUACUAUCGAUUGUCUAUUGUACUUCUAUUGUGUCUUUUCCCAGACUGUCUUUGUGUUGAGCUGGGAGUUUAUCAGAAACAGUCUCUCUAUCAGAUCCCACUGGGUGGAACUACAUUGGGUAUGUUGUUGUACCGCACACCAUAAGUCUUCAAGGUUUCAACUUUUCUCUUGCUGAGAAGAAAUAAGAAUAAAAAUGGACUACCUUCGGUAGUAGAACACAUAAUCCCAAUAACGUAGAAGGUAAGAUGAAUAAAUAUAAGAAAAUGUAUGUGCAGGUUGCCUUCCCCUUUUCCUUAUUCAAUUUGGCUUUUCAAAAAAAUUCACAUAGGAUACCCCUUAAGUGGUUUUACAUUAAGGGUGUGUUUGGUAUGAAGGAAAACAUUUUCCGGAAAAUGUUUUCCUUCAUACCAAACACACCCUUAAUGUAAAACCACUUAAGGGGUAUCCUAUGUGAAUUUUUUUGAAAAGCCAAAUUGAAUAAGGAAAAGGGGAAGGCAACCUGCACAUACAUUUUCUUAUAUUUAUUCAUCUUACCUUCUACGUUAUUGGGAUUAUGUGUUCUACUACCGAAGGUAGUCCAUUUUUAUUCUUAUUUCUUCUCAGCAAGAGAAAAGUUGAAACCUUGAAGACUUAUGGUGUGCGGUACAACAACAUACCCAAUGUAGUUCCACCCAGUGGGAUCUGAUAGAGAGACUGUUUCUGAUAAACUCCCAGCUCAACACAAAGACAGUCUGGGAAAAGACACAAUAGAAGUACAAUAGACAAUCGAUAGUAACAAAAACAACAGAUAGUAACAAAACGGUACUAUAACAAAAUAAUACUACAAACAAACUACACGAAAUAAUGGAUAGUUGCAGAAAUCAAAGAACAAGGAACUACAAAAGUAGUCCUACGACUAAUAGAAAGGGCAACAAGACAAGAUAUUUCUGCCUACUAGUAGUAAACACUUCUACAUACAUACUAACUUUUUACCCUAAUUUGUGUCCUCCACACCUUCCUAUCUAAAGCCAUGUCCUCGGAACUACAACUUCCUCAUGUCCUGUCUAAUCACCUCUCCCCAAUAUCUCUUUGAUCUACCUCUACAUCUACCUCUCCUGAAUCCAUCAAUAACCUAUCUCUCACACCUCUACACUGGGGCAUCCGUGCAUCUCCUCAUCGUUGCGGCAUCCGUUAAUCUUCUGAAUGUGAGAGCUAGCUAGUCUAACUACCACUUUGUAGAACUUGCCUUUUAAGUCUAGGUGACACCUUAUCACACAAGACUCCAAAAGCAAGCCUCCAUUUCAGCCACCCUUUACCAUAUCCUCGUCAACCUCUCCAUUUCCUUGGAUAAUUGACCCAAGAUGAAACUACCUCUCUUCUGGAUGAUCUGCGUAUCAAGCCUCACUUCCAUAUCAGCCUCAUGCAUCAUAUCAUUGAACUUGCACUCCAAGUAUUCAGUCUUAAUCUGAACCCUUGAGACUCCAGGUUUCGUCUCCAAACAUCCAACUUAGAGUUAACUCCGUUGUGAGUCUCGUCAAUCAAAACUACAUCUGCAAAUAACACACACCAUGACACCUCACCCUGAAUAUAUCGUGUCAAUACGUGCAACCCCAUCAACACAGGGAAGUGCUCCGAGUCUCCUCUCACUGUCGGUACUCGGGUCUCCAUGGGAAAAUAAGUGAUUUUCUCACAUAUUUUUUGGUAUUUGACCAGCCCCCACCCCCCAAUAAAAAUUUAAGUUUAUUUUUAAAAAAUAUUUUCAAUUUCAAAAAAUAUUUUCUACUCUAAUUAAAAUAAAAGAUAUUUCUCAAAAAUAUUUUUCAUUCAUAAGUCAAACACUAAAAAUCUUUUCCGGAAAAUAUUUUCUACUCACCAACCAAACAUGAGAAAAUAAGUCAAAAAUCAACUUGUUUUCCAGGAAAACAUUUUCCAUGAAAAACAUUUUCCUUCAUACCAAACACACCCUAAAUUUCAAUUUUUUGCUAUUGAAGACAUAAUUGAGCAAGUAUAAAUGUGCCCUCUCUAAUUGCUUGGGGUUUAAAUAAAGUGGUCACAUACUUCAUGUUCGCAUCACAGCAUGCAAAAGUCUUCCUUUCAUGUUUCACUGUCAAUCUUCUAACAUCAACAACGCCUCAGUCCCAAACAAUUUGGGGUCAGCUAUAUGAAUCCUUAGUGGCCAUGUUUCUCACAACCACUCUUCAUUGAAAAGACACUCACACAUGUUUUGCCAAUAACAAAGAAUUAGGCAUGCAUGUGAGGGUAUGCAAGACAUAAAUAUGCUUCUUUAUCAGAGUAAACUUUUAGAUGUGGUGACCACACACAUCAAUGGGUCUGUUUUUCAGUUUAUGUCAAGGACUUUGAUCCACAAAGAAGGAACUUAUUUACGAUACAAUAGAUAUUCAACAAGACUAGAAAUUAAGGAUGGAGUCCCAAAACUCCUAAGAAGAUAAAGUAUUACAAUAUCUUACCCGCUUUCUAAAUGAAAACCGAAGUGUUUGGACUUGUGUCCCAGAGCAAACUCUCAAGUCAAAACCAAGGCUGUCCACACCAAUCAGAGACACCUCCUGCCAUAAAUUGCAAGAAGAAACUCUAGAUGAAUACCCCAGCGAUCAUCAUACUUGAUAGAAGAUCUAGUUCAGUAUAAGACACAUUUCCACCGUAAGCUCAGACAAGUGAUGCACACUCGUAUUUUCAAAAAAUAAAUAAAUAAAUAACAGACCCGAAAUUCAUCUGUUUCAAUUUAUAAUGCUGACUACAAUACUAGACAUUGUUAUCAGGAAAAAAAGUUUGUUUUAGGUUUCGGACAUUUUAUCUUCCAAUCACAUGUUCAGGUUUCUCUUCUUAUCUUAUCUUUUUAAAAUAUUCUCCAACGCAUGAGCAAGGGAGGUUGAGUUGUAUGGUUUUCUUUAAAUUAUUUUCCCUGUAGACCAAUCCCUGGGUUGUACAGCAAUGAACUUCUGAGGAUAGAAAAAGAAGUAAAUCUACUGAUCUCAGAACAAUAUUUGAAUCUGAGAUUACAGGCUGAAGGACCAUUACCUCCACUUGAAUUCCCUUGCAUCUCCAACAGAGAGAUCUAAGAGCCUGCAUAGUCUUCUCUCCAGCAGCUUUAAGCCGAGAUAUUAUUUUGGCAGCUGAAUGUACAAUUGCAUCAGACCUAGCUCUCCUAAAAUCAUCUAACUCAACAAAGAUCUGUGAGCACCAAAAUUAAAAAACAUCAACUUGGUAAUCCCUGAAUAACGGUGAAUAUGUAAACAGGAAUCUCCCACAAGCAGAAAAUGGUCAAAGAAUGCAGAUAUAGAACUGGUCAAAUUUCAUUUAAAACAAUUGAAAGAGAAAAAACAAAAACAAAAAAGAACAUCCCAUGGAUCUUGUGUACAAGAUUCACUUGGCAGGGAAAAUCCACAGUGAAAUUAUCAUAUCAUUUAUCAUCCACCAUGACACAAAACAGUUUCAGAAUCCUGCUUACGGAGUCAAUUCCGAAACUAGAUUUCAACUUGGCAUACAAACGUGUAUAAUUCAGGAUAGACAUUUUUUCUGUUCAGAAAUCGAAUGAAAAAGAGUACCCUCUUUUCCUUUUUCUGUUCUAAUGAUAGUUAUUCCUUCAUAUUCCUGACUUGUUAAAUUAAAUAUUCAUUUAUUGUUGCUCUCUGUGCCAUCAGAACUUAUUGAAGUCCACAAUGAUUUUCCAUAUAACAAUAAGUUUCGAGAUGACCAAAAUAAUUACUGUAAAUACAGAAAUUGCACUAUAUAAACUGAGACACAUGGAGAGGGAAGAAGGGAAUGCUAACCAACAACAAUCAAGGUUGAACCACAUAAAACCUACACACAGUUACCUGAUUCCCAUUGGAAGAAAUUAACUGAAUUCUGAUCAUCUCUAGCUUGUAAAAUGAAGUUCCACUUCCUAAGUUCUCAUCCUUUUCCAAUUCUUCCCAACUUGGGUUCUCUUGUGAUGAUCCACUCUCAUGUUUGUGGCCAUUUAUUUGAACACCACCCUUUUCUUUGUGGUCAUCAUCUUUUUCUAUCCGGUUUAAGUCCGCGUCACUCAAUGUAUCUUCAGAUAUCUGCUUUUGAAUCGUAGUGUGCUCUUCCAGGAAGGAUGGCCUUAGAAGGCCUUGUAUAGCAAGACCUGCAGGAGGCUGGUCCAUGAAAUCUAUGGGGUCAUCUGUCACAACCUGAGAAGCAAAGAAGACCACAAACGAAGUGGGUUAAAUUACCAAUUAGAUAGCAGAUGCAGAAGGUUUAAUGCCAGCAUGUGCAGAAAAAUAAAUGUUUAACAGUGCUGAUUUCACUCAAAAGGAAAUCGAUUUAAUGUUUCUCUUAAAUUUAACUUUGACUUUUCAUGGCGUGAAAUCAAUGAUGUAGAGAAUCACCUCAGCGAUCUUUUUGGCAAAAUACAUUGGAUGAGAAGAGCGCAUGGUUUCUAAUUUAGCCCAAUCCCCCAAUGACCCAUCAGAAUCCCCAUCCUGAUCUUCAUCAUCAACUAUGGCAACCCAAUCCUGUCAACAAGCAUUUAAACUGAUUUAUUAAAUGGAAAGUGCAGUUACUCGCAUUCUAAAAAGUAAAGCAUUUGAAAUAAAUAAAUACCUCGUCACUGUCACCAUCAUCAUUGUCAUCUUCAUCGAGGUCAUCUUCGUCAUCAAUAUCACUGUCCUCAUCGUCAAAAUCAUCUAUGCCAUAAUCAACUUCAGAUUGACCAAAUGACUCUAGUUCACUUAGCAUUUCAGCAGUAUCUAGGCCAAUAAUUACUUGCUGCAUCGUAUUUGAAAUUUAAGCAGCAUUCAGAACUCUUUUCUUAUCAACUUUUGGUCAUUUACAACCUAGCAAGGUAACAAAAAAGAUCUUUUUUGAUAAAUUUAAAAAAGCUGACUUAUGUCAGCUUAAUCAUAGGUACUAACAUUAUGCAUACACAUAGCUUCCUCUCAGUAUUCAAAAUUCAUUCUCUUUUUUUUCCUUUCCUGAAAUGCUAAAAGAGCUCCAAGAUGGUUGGAACCAACAAACAUGUUUAAAAGCAAACUUCCAGUUUGUCUAAAAAUAACUGAUAUUUGAAGACAGGCAAGUAAUUACAUGAUAGAACAGUCUUUCAAUGGGAAGAUGAUUAUAGAAACAACAAUCAAGAAGUUUCUUUACUCAGACAAACUUAUCCUGCAUGGUAGAUAAACUAGAAUAAUACAACUUGCACCAUUAUACAUUGAUGACAUGAACUUCUGCAAAAGGUUAGUACAUAUCACCCUGGAAGACCGUUGACUAAUCAAGAAACAUGUAUGCAACACGGCAGAAUCAUUUGGAAGUACUCACAAAAGGCAGUAUGCUCGGUCUGAUCCAAUCACAAAUAUAUGUAAAUGAACAAUGCAUCAAUUGACCAUUCUGCAAACAUGAAAACAAACAGAACUUUUUAACUUCAAUGUCCAUACCACAACGUUUUCUUCGGCUGUCAGAGUUUGCAGGAUGUCUUCAUCAUUCUUCACUUGAAAGUAGAUGUCUGACCAAAAGGCAAAGCACAUAAACCUUCAUAAUGACCAAAAUGUACUAGUGGUAGGAAAACAUGCUAAAUGACAAGAAUUGAGCAGCUUACUUCCAAGUUCAUCAGUUAUAUAAGGCAAGUCUGGCCAGAAAAUGUUCUCCUGCACUUCAUUGUUGACCACACCUGAAAACAUGAGUGUUGCUUUGCUGUUUACCUACAGAUCAAGUAGGAAAACCAAUAUUAGCUUUCUGAAGACAACUAGCUACAGUGAUAAAUAGCUAACCGAGUUCAUCAGUUAUCUGGCCAGGAAAAGUUCUCAUGCACUAUUUACUAAACCUGAAACCGUUACUGUUGCUCUGGUGUAUAACUAAAGAUCAUGUGGUAACGGAAAUAGUAUUAUAUUUGCUCAUGACAGGGUAGAGGGAAAUCAGAAAGAUAUUGAGAGCCUGGGAGUAAUGUCCUGACACUGGAAGUUUGUAUGACUACUCUCUGACCACCAUGGAUAACCCUGGAUGCUAUCCAGCUUUCCAAGGGCAUUGUGAAACAAUAAUUCAGUAAGGAAAUAAAAUCUUAAGUGAUCCCAAACUUUCUGUUCUUCUUUCUUUAUAAUAUUUCUAACAGCUAAUGACUAAAAUCUCUAUACAUUUGCAUUCAAAAUCAGUAUAUGCUUCCAACAUACAAUCAAAUAAAGCAAGCAUGAUACAAUAGUAUUUAUUGGUACCUCAAUGAUUGUUCUAGCAGUUUCAGCUGGCGACAAUUGAGCUUCCUCAUUCUCCCCAUUUUCCGAAUCCGAAAUGUCUUCAAACGGAUGAUACCUGGAUGGCUUCGCAUUCUGUUUCACUGGUCCAGAACUCGCACUAGGCUGAUCUCUCGCACUUGCUUUAAUCCCACAUUUUCCCUUACCCGUUCUUAUUCUGCCACCACAAUACUCCGUCGUCAACCUCCUUAUCUUAUUCCUACAAGCAAACAGUACAUAUACCGCAACGAGUUUACAACAUCAUUUGAGCUUGCACUGUGUGCUUUUUACUGUUAGUAUAUAAUAAUCAGUUGGAUCAGUAAUAGAGACAGUAAAAGGAAAACUAGUACCGAGGGAUGAAGAAACUGGCGGAGUGAGAAAACCGGCGGAAGGUACGGUUGAAGUUACCGGCGGGAAAACGGACGGCGACGGCGGCAGGUUCUACCAUAAGCAUUUUUCAAGUUUUCAGCAACUGAGGAAUUGAAUUAACGGGGAGAGAUCGGUGAAAUAGAAGCAAAAAGUAGAGGGGGAUUUCAAAGAUCUUCUUCGUCCAUCAGUCUGUGAUUGGGUGUUGUGGUUCUCUUAUUAUCCAUUUGAAAGCGCUCGCUUGUUUCUUCUUCUUUAUUCAUUAGCAAUAUGCGAUAAAAGAUUCCAUGUCUGCUCCCAUACCGUCCCUACAGCUGAGUCCACCUGCCAAAAUAACGGUGUGAAAUUACUGUAAUGCCCUUGGGGUUCAUUUCGUUUACUAGGAUAAACCCUUCAGCUGAGAAAAUAUCUCAGUUCUCCAUGUGUGCGAACGGACUUUGUUCUUGGGAAGCCAUUAAAAUACAGUCUCACUUUCAGCUCUCAAUUAGUUGUGAGCAUUUUCUGGUAAAUCUUUCAGUCUUUUUUAUUUUUGCUCGAACCCAUGUUGGUUGCAGUUAUUGACCCAAAAAGAGAAAAAAAAAUUGUUUUUUUAACCUCCCAAGCUCCCACCCUUUUUUGUUUCCGGUGACUCGAAACCACUACCACUGGGUGGGAGGUGGAGAUGGAGAUGGAGGGUGCUUACGAUUCGAGCAAUCCCUUUCAUCAAAAUAUAAUUUCUUUUCGGUGGGGAGUGUAUGGAUAAGGUUUUAAAAUAAGGGAACCGAUUUUCUUACCCCAAUUGAGUGCUAUUUUAUCUAAUUCUUGGAUUGUGCGUUGCAGGAGUUUCAACUGAUGCUUUUUCUUCCCCACUGAGAAUGCUUUGUUUGAGGUAUUCUCCGGUAAUUUUUACUACUAGAAGACAGCAAACAAUUCAGCUCCCCAAGAACUAUAAUCGUAACGUUGUGGUAAGAUUCUGCAGAUUUUCUUGAAGCCUAACAAAUUUGAUGUUCCCACACUGCUAUGUCAUAAGUUCUAUAUAGGGUAAGCUGCUAGCUGCAGUGCUAAUGUCAAUGUGUUUGAAAGUUAUUAGGAAGUAGUAAGAGAAAAGGAUUUAAUAUUUUGGAAAAGAAAAAACUUGUAGAAGUUUAGAGAAACUCUAUGGUAACUGUAAAGGACUUCAAUUUUCCUUCAGGAGGAAUCAGAUGUUCCCUGACUUGGACGUUUAAAAGUAAUAUGCUCAAUUUGGGUUCCUAUGAUUCAUUAUUGUUUGCCUUGUCUUCCUUUUUCUCUUUUAGGUACACACUGCUCUUUUCUAUUUCCUCUCUUCUUGCUCUUGAAGUCACCUCUCUGUCAUAAUUCUGAUGUUUCUCAGGUGUGCGAAGCUAAAGGUCCACGACCAAGGUAUCCUCGAGUGUGGAAAACAAAAAAGAAAAUAGGGACCAUUUCCAAGUCACUGAAGCUUGUUGAGUGUGUAAGAUUUUCUCUUUUUACAUUAUUUCUCUUUUGGGUAUGAUUUCAAGACAAAAGGUUUCAAUUUCUCUACAUUAACAAGAGUGUUUGCCUCAGGUUCUUGUCUUAGUUGCCCUUCUGUAUACGCAUAAUCAAUAAAUUGUACUAUUGACCACCCCCCAACAUGAACAGGCACCUGCAUCCUGAAUAAUGAUAUAAUAUAUAAGUCUGGUUUAACAGAAUUUUCGCUUACUUUUGGAUUUUCUCUUUGUAGAUAAAGGGAUUAUCAAAUGUCAAGGAAGAAGUCUACGGAGCGCUUGAUUCUUUCAUUGCAUGGGAACUGGAGUUCCCUUUGAUUACAGUGAAGAAAGCAUUGAAAAUUCUUGAGAAUGAAAAAGAGUGGAAAAGGAUAAUUCAGGUAUCAUCUUAUCUGGUGCCCUAAGUUUUCAUUCCUUAAAAGGCUUAUCAGGUCCUAGUAUAAAUUGUAUCAAUCGAGGGUAUCUAAUUGCAGGUGACAAAGUGGAUGUUGAGUAAAGGUCAAGGGAGAACAAUGGGAAGCUAUUUUGCGUUGUUAAAUGCCUUGGCUGAGGAUGGAAGACUUGAGGAAGCUGAAGAGCUUUGGCUGAAACUAUUCUCUCAGAAUCUGGAAAGCAUGCCUCGUAUUUUCUUUCAGAAAAUGAUAGCCAUAUACUAUCACAAGGAGAUGAAUGAGAAGAUGUUUGAGGUAUCCUACAUUUUUUAUGCCUUCCCUUUUUCUUGCUUCUGUACUCAAUUCUCUUCAAUUAAUUGGUUUCUCUCCAGUAAUACCUAGGUACUUCUCUUUUAUUUUUUAUUUUUUAUUUUUUUCUCUAUUAUUUCCAUGGAAUAGUGCCUUUUGAUAAGUGAUUUUGUUCAAUGGUAAUGGAACAGUCAAACUAUAUGCUACAGGACUUUGGCAUAAGAAGCAUUAUGUGUGUGUUUUUCCUCUCUUUUUUUCUUUUUUUAAUAAACUUAAGAAGCUAGCAAUGUAUUAAUAUAGUAGUCUAAGAAGUAUUGUGGUAAAACCUAAUGUACAAAGGAAGCAAUGCAAACAUAGAAUUUCAGAGAAGUGGCUCUCAGAAAACAAAUAAAUGAAAGAAAGUUCACAUUUCAUCACUUGAACCAUUGUGUGUUCUUAUUUUGGUCUGUCUUCCCACAGUGAGAAACACUUGGGAGAACGAGGACAGCUGACUACCCCUAAAAGUCAGACUAAGAGUACUCAUUGUAUGAUUGAAAACUGCCGCUGCAUACUACCCAGUGCUCAGAGAAGUGGCUCUCAGAAAACAAAUAAAUGAAAGAAAGUUCACAUUUCAUCACUUGAACCAUUGUGUGUUCUUAUUUUGGUCUGUCUUCCCACAGUGAGAAACACUUGGGAGAACGAGGACAGCUGACUACCCCUAAAAGUCAGACUAAGAGUACUCAUUGUAUGAUUGAAAACUGCCGCUGCAUACUACCCGGUGCUUGCAGGUCUGACUGGUGCCUUCUCUCCAACAGCUGCCUAUUGGUCGUGCUGUUCGGUACUUGAAUAUGCUUGCCGCAGAGAAAGACUACUUUUCUAUUCGCUUGCCUGCACGCCUCUACUCAUGCGGGACUGACUGUGCAAUACUAAUAAUGGAUUUUUGUUCUUAUUUUGGUCUGUCCCACAGUGAGAAACACUUAUUUUUCCAUUUGAAUGGAACCUUGGUUUAGCUCUUUAGAUAGAGGAGUCAACAAUACCAUAUAGAACUUAAAUGCGUCGUCGGUUUUUGCCUCGUGUCAUCCCUUAUUUUAAGCCAAUUUCUCAAUACCGCCACAGCUUCUUCACAUACAAACACCUUGAGGUUGUUAAGACAUAUAUAAGAGAUAGUAGCAAGUUUGCUAUAUGUGAGGGAGUUUAGGGUGCUUAGGGAAUGGGUAGUGAAGAGAGAAAGUGAGGUUAGUAACUGCCAAAAGAACUGUUUAUAUUGCAACAACUAAACUAGCUCAAAUCUGAUAUGUUGAAGUUACAGAUUAAGCACAGAAAUACAGGAAGGAAAAUAGAACUAAGCCGAAAAGAGAGUAUUUCAUAUAAUAAACACGGCUUCAGUGGAUGAUUUCAGCAGAACCUGUACGUGUAAAAUAGAUUAAGCUUUUGACCCUUCGGGGUGGCCCAGUGGUUUGGGCUUGGGACUUCCAUGUUGGAGGUCUCAAGUUCGAAACCCCUUGCCAGCGAGAGCAAGGGGUUUGCCUUCUGGGUCGAGCUCGUCGCACCGGGCUUGCCUAGUGCGGGUUACCUCUCCUAUAUGGUUUGCGAGCUAUUGCAUAGGAGCGGAGGUUUUACCCUGUACGCUCCCAAAAGGUAGCAGCUGCGGGUUUCCCUUGCCAUAAAAAAAAUAAAAAUAGAUUAAGCUUUUGAUGUUUGUGUUCACACAGUGGUGGUGUUCACAUUUAUUGUACUCUUUAAUUGUGGAUUACCUAUCACUUCUAGAUGAUAACUAAAUAUCACGAGGGAAUAUGAGUUUAUUCCCUGUAUGCCUAGCCAUCUUCAGGGUUGCAAUGGAUGGAAUGUGAAUCCUUCACAACCAUGUUGGAUAAGUGGGUUGGUGCCUUCAAAAUAGGGCAAGAUUUGGCUUGUGAAAGUAAGUGCUAUUCUAGGGCAAGACCAAGCUAGUACGGGGUUAUUGGUACGAGUGUUGCACCAACAACCUCUUCGGGAAAAUAGACUUGGUACCUUCCAUCACGGGAGAAAUUAUUUUCCUAGAGUGAGCUCUAGCAUUAGGUUGAUGCUAAAACUAGUGGCAGGGCGUGCUCAUGGGCCUCAAAAACCGUAAGAAAGACUUGAGAGCAAGCUUCUUUGUGAGAGUUCGAGUGUCGGUGGAGAAAGCCACCAUACCACUGAAUGUGUCUACACACUUUUGCUUCGACUAUUUUGGUUUGAGAAGGUAUUGACAGCAGUUGGAAGUGUUCGGGAUUCUCUUACUCUACUUUCAAUUGACACUAUAGUUUGGUAGGAAACUUUUUUCUCUACAUGAACCAUCAAUUUAUAGUAUUCUUAAUUGAAUUAAUGUUCCAUGUCUGUUUCAUUGCUGAUAUCUAGAUUUGUAUUCAUCUGCAGAUAUUCGCAGACAUGGAAGAGCUUGGAAUUAGGCCAACUGUGCCAGUUGUCACAAUGGUGGGAAAUGUUUUUCAGAAACUGGAAAUGUUGGACAAGUACCAGAAAUUGAAAAAGAAAUAUCCACCCCCAAAGUGGGAAUAUCGUUACAUAAAAGGAAAGAGGGUUAAAAUAAGAACAAAAGAUCUUGAUAAAUCUCAAGAUCAUGAUGUUGACAGUAAGUCUGAAGAGGUAGAUGAGUCUGAAUUCGACGAGAACUCACAAGAUCAAGCAGAUGAAGUUGAUGAAGAUUAUGUAGAGCAAAUCAAAGACGUUGAAGAGUGUGAACCUGGUGAAAUAUCAAUUGUAUCUAGUGAAACAAGGGAAUCCUCUAUGUCAACUUAAUGAUUUGAAUUCCUCAUUCGUUCGACAUUUAUUGUUGUGUUUCCUCUCGUGUGAUGAAUUUUAACUGCUCAUUGUCAAAUGAACCAAGAGGAAAACCCAAAACUAUAGCUGUAAUUUAAGUUAAUCUACCCCAUGACUGCAAUGUAUAUUCAAGUGAAAUGAGAGAGUAAGAACCAAGUGAAGCGAUUUUUAACCUACAAAUAUAUCAAGAGAUGAGUGGUGUAAGUAAGGGUGAUAAAACCUGCCCAAGUUUAGGCUGGUCCCUUCAUUUAUUAAUUCAAUUCAUUUUUAUCUGCCCAUUUAAAAGUUUGAGUUGAUAUAUUAUCAAAAUCGAUCCAUAUUAACCUUGUCAAAAUAUUUUUAAAAAGAUAAUAGUUUUAGUUUGAUAAGUAUAACAAUAAACAGACAAAACUAUAAGGUACUUAAACAAAUUAUAAGAAAACAAAAAGAAAUCAAAACUUAGAAAUAAUUUAGUAAGUUGGGCUAUGAUCUAUUGUUUACUCAUUUUAACCCAAGUGUAAUCUACCCAUUUAUUAGUUCAGUUUAGUCUAAAUCACCCAAAUUCACCCAACCUGCCCAUUUGUUAAUUCAAUCCAAUCUAAACCACUCAAAUUCACCCAAUCUGCCAGUUUAUUAGUUCAAUCCAGUAUAACCCGCUCAAAUUCACCCAACCUGCCCAUUUAUUAGUUCAGACCAGUCUAACUGCCCCAUUUCAACCCAACCUGCCCAGUCUACCCUUUGCAGCAGAAAUGGGUUUGUGGCCGUAAAGGAGCAAAUCCCUUUGAAUCUAUAACCUCAUGCCUAUGCCAAGAGGAAGAUUAUCCAAGUUCCUACAAAGGCGAUGGUUGAGAACACUUGUAGGAACAAUUUUUUUCAGGGGUAAGAAGAGGUGAACUACAAAUCAAUGAACAUGCAGAGUAAGAAAUGUGAAUGGGAAUAAAAAUUGGCCAAAACCAUGUAAAAAUGUUAGGUAAAACUCUUAAAUUAACUUUCUCAAAUUGUGAUCCAUUCAGUGCCAAGAAGCCAACUCUAGAAAAUGAACAGCGUUAUACCAGCAGAUAUUAAAAUACAGACCCCAUUAUGCAAAUCGGAUUUGCCUUGGAACUUACUUUCUACCCUUUCUUCGAGCGGAGCCAUUAGCAAAGCCCUUUCUAUUAGAAUUAUUGUUUUGUUUGUCAGCCUCAUCAUCCUCGUCUUCAUCCUUGUCCUCAUCCUCAUCCUCAGACUCACUAUACUCGCUCUGGUCACCCUCUUCAUCUUCUUCAAUGUCAUCUUCAUCUUCAUCUUCAACGUCAUUCUCAUCCUGCACUCCCCCAGCCACAUUACCACCUCGACUUCCAGCUCUGCUCCUUUUCAAUACUUUUAGUUUUAAGUUUGUCUUUGUGUUGCAGCCAAUCCAUGCGUCACACAUCAAAUGACUGUCUAAACUGUAAUUUCCUGCCUGUGGAGCUUGGAUCUUGCCCAAGAUCAGUCGGCACCCUCUCUUAACUUUCGCAACAGCAUCUUUAACAGCAGCAGCAAUCUCCUCCAUAUUUGCCCCCGAUGCUUCCAUUUUCGCUUCGGUUAUUGUUGAAGCAGUUGUUAUGGCUGCUGCUUCAUCCAUAACGUUGAUACUUUCAGAAAACCAGACAUCGUUUGAAUUGGCAUCUGCAAGUAAAAACCAGAAAUUCUCUCCCUUGGGGAAUGGAUAGUAUGGAGCAUGUGGAAGAGCUGCGAUCAAACCAUUAGCACGUCUGACUGUCACCCAUGCCUGCACAGUGACAAUGUCCCCCUCUUGGAUGCCUUCCUCGCCCUCAGUCUCGCAAGUAACUUCAAUUGUUGCACGAGGCAUCAAUUCUAGCACCUUCUCCACGUCUUGUACUUCAGCAGCGGAUAGGCCAGCAACAUCAGAAAGCAGCUCGGCACGUUCUUGAAGGGUCAUGUCCAGGAGGUUCUGUAGUGUACGCACCUUCCAUGGACAAAAAUGAGUAAAGGUUAUGACUAUGACAAGAACCAUGUCUUGAAUAAUGAUUAAACAACUACAGUGUGGUAAAUAUGAACAGAAGAAAGAAUGCUGCACGUACUCACACUCAAACAACCACACUUUUCUAAUAAUUGUCUAUAGCUAACUUCUCAAGGAACGUCUCUGAUAUGUCUGAAUAGGAAAAGAUGCUUACCUUCUUCGCUAUCUUUGCGAUGACUGCAUCACUAAAAUGUGGAAGCUGCAAAAGCGAAGCAACACCAUCAGAGGAUCCUGAACCUGCCUUCCUAGCACUAAGGGGAACGGCCUGCAUCCACAACAGACGCACAAGAUUCAAUAUUCUGAAAAUCUGAAGCUUUUAUCUUAAUGCGGAUAAUAUGAGGUCGCACACACCUUAAGAUACAAUGAAAAGGAGGCAUGUUGACAGUGACCUACCAACUAGGCCGGUUUGGUCCAGUUAAAACUCCAAGGGGGAUGGAACCGGCUCAAAGCCCCAAAUUAGUAGCUUUUACUAGGCGAGCCCCGGGUUUGUUUGUUUGUAACUUAUUGUUCAUAAUUUUGAAGAAUGUAAGUUAUUACAUUGUAAAAUGUAAUUAUUUACAAAUCUUAAAUUGAAACUUCAAAAAAUAUUAACUGUAGAUGUGGCAAAAUCAGCCCAUGAAAUCAUAAACCGACCAACCCGACCAAAUUUGGGCUGAUUAUUGACCCAUCCAUUUCAGGCCAUCAAAGUUGGGGCUGAUAUGUACCCCACAUUAAUCCAUCAGAAACUUUGUCAAAAUAUUUUUAAAAUAGACAUUUCUUUUAUUUGGUAUGUCAUAUAUACUCAUAUAAAGAAAAAUAAUAAUUUUAUUAGGUACUAAGAAAUUUAUAAAAGAACAAAAAAAGCAUUAAAAUUAGUAAGGCGGGUUGGGUUUGACUCGCCUUUCAACCCAUUUCAGACAAAGUAACUUUUGAAUGGAUAAAUAACCCACCCAUUUAAUAACUCAACCCGUCUUGACCUGCCCAAAUUCAGCCCAUUCCGCCCAUUUGCCACCUCGAAUUAACGGUAGAAGAUUACAGAGAAGCUGAUGAUUAUUCAAAGAAUUCUUCCAAUUGAAACCUCAAGUAUUAUCAAAAUGUAAGUUACUUUUUAUUACAAGCCCACUCGGUCCUGGUCCAUUCCAAUAGCCAGCCUAGCCCGGUCUGCACUGAUUUUGGGCGACAAUUGGGACCAGCCCAGCCUGCCUGGGACAGUUUUGGACCCCAUUUUCUGGGCCUGUUAGGUCGGUCUCCUGGGCCAACCAGUCUCAGUUUCCAGGUCUAGUCAACAUGGAAAAUCUAAUUUGCUCUCAUGUGUAUGGUAGAGAUAGUAGGUUACCUCCCUUUAACCAAAACAUAAUCAAAGUACCUCCUCAUGGAUGUAAAGACUUUGCUAAAUCAACCUAAACUUUAGCAGUUGAAUGACAAAACUAUGCUUACAGUCACUUUAGUAGUAGUAAAUAAGUCAUUGACACGAUCACAGAAGUAUUGCUUAAACAGCACUAGAUGAAAGACCUGAAUUAUGCACUGGGAGAGCUCGACGAUUCCAAUGGCAGGCCUUAGCCAACCAUGUCCCUUAGCAGUGCGUGGCACAGUUGCCAUCUGCAUGAACAAUAAACAAGAUGACCAACUCCAAGUCACAGUUGAAAAAGAGGGUAGAUAAGAAACCAAAAGUUAAAAUUUUAAGUCAACUUAUAUUAGCCAACACAUACUGAACAGCAGCAAAUCAUAUUCAUGUACAAAAAAAAAGGAUGACUAGUUGCAUUAACAUCAGACAAUCUCAACCUAAAAGAAAAGUUGUUUGACAAAAUAAGUUCAAAACUACAUCUAUAAGAUAUCAACUAAACUAUCUAGAACACAUAAUACUGAUUAAAAAAAAUCUUUCAAAGUUCCCACCUAACCGCCAUAAAUAUGCCAAGUAAUGUGAAAUACUGUUCUAAUAUCCUCCUUCUGCCCUCACAAUUUACAUUUUACUAUGAUGCAAACGAAAAGUAGAUAAGGAGUCAGGAUUGUUGAAGUCAGAAAGGAGAAUCUAAAGAAUGGAAACUUGGUUAGGACAAUUCUUCAAAACUUAAUUGCUAAAAAGCUUGUCAACCUAGACUGGCUUAUGUAUGUCAAACCCAGGUCAGUUUCCUGAGAAUGUUACAGUUUGAGCUUGCCUUUUAAUGUCUUACUCUAUUUUCAUAGCAAUUUUAUAGUUAUCCUUUUAUUUACUUUGGAGUGUUUGUUGUGGUUGUUCUAUUUGAAAAAUAAAAGGCGGUAUGUUUUUUAGCAAGAAAAACAAGAGAAUUACUUCCAUUUGGACCGCCUAUUAGCUUUCCCACCAGUAACCUAGUACUUCCAUAGCAAAUUCAAUAUAUCAAAUUCAACUCAAAGUACCGAAAGUCGGCAUACGUGCCAUCUAACGAAUAAUAAUAGCAUGAAACUUAAACUCUCAGAUGUAAAACUGCAUGAUACUAAAAGUAACGCAAAAAUUUACCUUGAUUAGCCCUUCGAGAAGGCGAGGCGUAAACUGCAGCACAUGUUUGUAAUCUUGCUGCAAGUUACUAGAGAAAGUGUCUGCUUUACGAAGUAAAUGGGCUUGAAUCAACAAUUCGGCCUGAAAAAGAAAGGAAAAUAAGCUUACUACAAGAGAUUUAUGGUAAAUACAAAAUGCUUCAAGUAUCAUGAUUCAUGGCUAUAUCUCUUUUGAACUUCACCUUAACAAUAGCAGGAUGUUGUUUCCAAAAUUUUGUUUGUUCCUGCCUGGCAUUCUUACCAUCCAGGUUCAGUUCACUUUUCACAAGUUUGAAGAGUUCCUGAAGAGGUUCAUCAUCAGCUCUUCGAACUGGAAUAUCCAUGAACUCAGCUGCCUUAACGAAUACAUCCAUAACUUUGCUGUCAUUUCAAAUGUCACAAGUCGUUUAAAAACAAUCACAUACAUACUGAAAACACUCAAUAUCAACCAAGGCAAAAUGCUUAAUUUUCAAAGAUUGAGGAAGGAGUACAUAAUUAAAACAUGUCAAACAGCCUCUCACCUUCCACACCUUCUGUAGGAUGUGAUUUUAGUGUGUAAAGAUCAAGAUUGUUUAACAAAAAGGAAACAAGAUAAUUGGAACAAGAUUAAGGACAACAAAGAAAAUAUUUUGAUCAAGAACAAUAAAGGAAAUAUUUUCUUUGGACACAACUAGUUAUCGUUGUGAAUGAAAAUAACUUUUUAUCUGAUGAUGAUCGUGACUUCUAUAUUAUAUAAUAUACCUUUUGCUAUAUCAGGCAAUGUGUCAUUCUAAAAAAAAACAAUAAAGGAAAUAUUUAAAAUGAAAAUUAAACCGAACGUCGGGACCUAUACUUGAUCUUCAAGUAAAAAAAAAGAGCCCUUUACUAAUAAAGUCACACAUGGGGCAGGGAUCGUAACACAAUGCUGGUUUAGAUUGAUUAUGAAGAUGGGAGAUGCACGCUAACAAAAAUUCUUUGCUUUCAAGUAACAUGACUAUAGCAUUGCUUCACAAGACGAAAAUUCAAUCCUAGGAAGUCCUAUGGACAGAUACCUCAGUCGAAGAACAAAUGAAUAUGAGUUGCAUAGACAUUUGCCUUGAACAAUGUUGUAAGGCUAACAGACAAUUGCUUGUGUACACAGGAGAUAAUAUUAACCUUUUUUCUGAAAGGAACUAUAGCAGCCUCAAACAUGCCCUUCAAGAUACCAAAAGAUAUAUCUCCAGAACUCAAAAUGUUGUAAUUAUUAGUUUAUUUAUCCUUUUGAUAUGGUGUUGGGGCCUUCCGUGCACUUCAACUAAUUUCACAGGGUACCUGCUACCUCCCACCAAUACAUGUACUUGGUAACUCUAUCCAAUUUUGACACAAUUGAUAAAAUAAAUACUUAAAUUUCUGACUGGAUGCUCACAUAAUCUUAUCUAGAGGAACCAUAGAAGCUAUAUAGCAAUUACAAAUAGCUGAUCUACAUUGGUUAAGCAUAUGUAGCAUGGAGGGCAGUAAAGAAAUAGAGAUUUAAAUAUCAUGGACAAAAUCUACACACGAGGCAGUUAGUUAAGGAUUUAUACUGAUUUUUGGAUUCACCAGAAGCUAGAGAGGAAAAAUGAAAACGGAUGAAAUCUAACACUUACAGAACUGAAAAAGAGCAGUCCUUCCACCAUCCUUGUCGAAAAUAGGAUUAGUUCUAUUCUGGUAUUUGAUUUGUCAAGGGAUAACUGGGAGCUCUCAACCAAUGGUUUUCUCCAACAAAGAGUUACUAUUUCUUUUUCGGCUGAGGAUGUAUUAAUUCAAAAGGAAGUUUUUGUUUAAGACAUUCUAAGAGAGGUAAUUUGAUCGAGUUAGUAUUACUUCUUCGGUUAAUGCACCAUCAUAUUUUUACAAGAGGCUUCACAACAGAACGUGUCAAAUGUAUAUUUAUGUACUGAACAAUUACAGUGCAUAUGUGUAGCAAAAUAUUUUUACCUUGGAGCCAAGGAGGGCUUCACUAAUUCAAAAUAAGUGACAAGAGUUUCACGCCUGACAUUAUUUCCCCCAUACUUUGAUGCUCUUGAUAGAUAAACAACACCAACCGCCAUUGGCAAUAGUAUAAAACCUCCAAGAAUCCAAAGUAAUAAUAUACCACCAGAUGAGCCAUUAAAAUCAAGCAAAAACUGAGGAAGCGCUAUUCCCAUUUGAAAACCCUACAGCAGGACGUAAUAUUGUUAGAAUCUAUGUACGGAUUUCAAGGCACUGAACAUAUUUCUCUCAUUCCACAGAUAAGGUGACUUGUAUAAUUUUAUUACUGGAUAAGAAUCAACACCUGUCUGCCAUCUGGAUGUCCAUAUUUCUCAAAAUUCUCCCUUGAGACCGGAUCUGUCAGGGCCUGGUAAGCUUUGGAAAUAUACUCCACAAAAUACUUAUGAGCAGCUGAAAAUCAAGAAGAAAGAUUAAUAUAACUGGUAAGCAGACAUCAUAAUACAGAAUGCCCAAUUCUUCAUCAAUUUCAGUUUCUUUUUCCCCCUUUCUUUCUUCUUUUUUAAUCUCUCUCUGUUUGUCUCUUUUUAAUAGAGAGAGAGAGAGAGAUGGAUCUUCAUCAUUUAGAGGUAAAGUGACACACAAACUGCAUCCCAGUAACACCUCUCACCUGGGUCAGGGUUUUUGUCUGGGUGGUAUUGUAUUGAAAGUCUCCUAUAUGCUUUCUUUAUUGCAGAUUCGGUAACUCCUGGUGCUAGCCCAAGAAUACUGAACGGAUCAAAAGCUUCAAUCUGAUUUGAAAGAAAAAGAUCCAAUGUCAGCCAGACCUUUACUUGCAACAUCUAUUGGCUCCUUUUUUUUUCCAAUUCUUUUGGCUGGGUGGGGGGAGGNNNNNNNNNNNNNNNNNNNNNNNNNNNNNNNNNNNNNNNNNNNNNNNNNNNNNNNNNNNNNNNNNNNNNNNNNNNNNNNNNNNNNNNNNNCCAGUGCGGGGGGGGGGGUGGGGGGAGGGGGAAUCACAAAAUAUGUUUCCUAACCAAGGGCAUAGUGAAGGGGGUUCAAUUUAAUUCCUUUUGGCAACACAUUAUACUGUGCAAAUAGAGUUAAAACUUUUUUUUUGUAUAUAUAUAUAUAUAUAUAUAUAAAUGUUUUCGAAUCAUCUUGACAUAAAAGGAGGCUUCUAGUAUAGUGGAAAAGGAGGUUUAAAAUUUACUUGUAAGUCACAAAUUGAAACCCCAUGAGUGGGAAUCUAGCAUUUUAUUGAAUCCCCUUAUAUAAGUUCCAUGCUCUGCAACUGUUCCUAACAUCGAUAUGCAAGGAGAAAAAUCUAGGAUAACCUAUCAAUGUCAUUUAGAGAACUGAAGUAAUUGUAGCAUUGAAUUUCACCUCACGACUACUUUGCUUGAUGCUAUAAACAAGGAAAAUCACAAUGACCCAAAGCAGCAGCACGGUAAAGUUGCUACAUGUUGAAAACUUAGAGAUCUGCACGAGGAAAUUCAAAGAUUAGAAAACAGGAUAUUGGGUCGCAAGACCAAUAACAUAACUCCAUGCAUACAUCCAACAUAAAAUUGUAUACAGAUGCUUGGUUGAUAGCUCACCCUUCGAAAAAUGGAUUUGCGAUAUUUUCCUGAUCGAGAGCAAACUGAACACGCACAGUGAAUACUCUUUUCCUUCUUUGAAGCAACACGAAGUAAUUUAAGUAUUGUAUAGGGUACUAAAGGCAGGGCAAUUAUUGACAGUAUAAAAAUUGGGAACAAGGCACUAUUUUCUCCAGUGUCAGCCAUGAGAACUUCUCCACAGAUAGUCCGCAGAUGCUAUAGCCUGCAAACUAAAGUGAUAGUAAACAAAUUGAUUAGGACUGCACCAAGUGGGGAUAGCAAGCUUAAUUCCAACAAUGACAACUAACUAUACUGCACUAUUUCUAAAGAAUCCUAAUUGUCUUUUAAAGACAGUCAUUUAGUAUUGGAAUGCAAGCGGAAUGGACGUAGAUGAUUCAUAUAGCUGAAUCCAAAUAGUUUCAUAUUGAAUCACAUGUGAUUGAUUCUAUACUGUACCAGCUCCUAACCACAAACAGGCAAAUUUUAAGGAAAACAACUAAAAUUAUCAGCAAAAUUCCGCUCGAUCAACUGAUCGCUUCAUACAUAUAACCUGCGAAAUUAAUGUAUGAACCUCAAUAGCACAGAAACAUAAGUAAACUAAUAUCCUAACAAUAAUCUCUCAAACUAGUAAACUCAAAAACAUUGGGGCAAAUCAUCAAAAAUGGGAGCUUUAGAUUUGCAAGCCUAAGUCCCAUAUAUAUAUAUAUUUUUAAAAGGACAAAUCAAAGUUAUUCAUCUUCUCAGACUACAGUAAAACCCAUAGAAAGACUCUCAUUUGACGCAUCCCCAGUAAAACAAAUAGCAGGAUUAGGUCAAUUGGUGAAAACCCAUUUGAAUUCAAACAAAAUCUUCCCCUCAUAAGUAAAAAUCAAGAAAUUGCAAGAUUUGCAUAAAAACGAAAAGGAGAAUGAGGGGAAAACUUGCCUCUUUACCAGUGAUGGAUUCUUCAACUUGCAAAAUCAGCUAUGAAGAAUGUUGAAAUUGGAUUGAGGGACUACGACUGGUAACCCGAAACGUAAGCCCCCAAAGAUUUUAUUUUUUUCUCGCAGCCGUUUACUUUGUAGCUUGCAAUUGAAAAUUGUGGGUUUUGUAAGGAUUUGACAUUGGCGAAAAUUUAAAGUAAUAUGGAGUAGACUUAACAGAUUUUUAUAAUCUUUUCAUUUGGACUGAGCCAUGAAGUUGAGGGCAAAAUUGUACGAAAAAACUUAUAUUUUCGUCUAUUUUAACACAAGGAAAAUACGUGACUUUCUGGAUUUUUGGCUUGUUUCUUAUGUUUUUCUUUUCUUUUUUUUUGUCUUUUAAGUCAAAAAAAAUUACACAAAAUAAACCAAAUUUUAUUAAUUACUAUUGCUGUCGAAAUGCAUAAAUCUUUUACUUUUAUUCUUCUCUUUCUUUUUUGGAAAAAUUAUAUAAAUGGACCAUAAAAUCCACAAUAAUACAUGUUAAUACUCAAAUCUAAAAUAAUUCAAGAAAUAUGCAUUCUCUCAUAAAUAAUUAUAGACCAUACCACCCCCACCCCAUUAAGGCGGAUGAGUUUCACUUAAUUGAUACUAAAUCAAUAUCAUAUAUUGUAUUGGUAUCAUUAAGGUUUCUUGUUCAGAAAUUACUCAUUAGCCAAUGAUACUAUCAGAGUAUAUUGUAUUGGUAUCAUUAAGACUGAUACUAAAUCAAUAUAUAUAUAUAUAUAUACACACACUCUAUUGGUAUCAUUAAGGUUUCUUGUUCAGAAAUUACUCAUUAGUCAAUGAUACUAUAUGAGUAUAUGUUAUUGUUGUGGUAUCAUUAAGGUUUCUUGUUCAGAAAUAUAGUAUAUAUAUACUGAUUUAGUAUUAAUUAAGCGAAAUUAUCAGUCUUAAUGAUACCAAUAAAGUAUAUGAUACUUAUUUAGUAUCAGUUAAACGAAAUUAGUUGAGAGGGUAUAUAGUGUAAUAUGUUUGUAAUUACUUUGCUUUUAUGGGUAUUUGCUUAGUUUCCCUCUUUUUUUCUAGGUUUGCAGCUAAUUGAAGAUGUCAAUUCUAUUAUUUUAUGAAAACUUACCUAAAUUUCACUAGUUUAUAAGAUAAUUACUUAGAUGCACUUAAGUUUACAAUAUUAUUACGUAUCUUAUCAGACGUUGGAGCGUCCAGAUCGUUCAGAUAUAUGUAUCUCGGGAUACAUGAGUCAAAUUUAGGUGUAAUUUGUUCUAGAUACAUUGGAUCCAAGUGGAUUCGCAUGUAUUUAGGAUACAUACCAAAUCUCGCCUGCCUCCCUUGCCUCUCUCUCAUAUUGCUCGCCACUCUCCUAUGUAUUUCGUAUCUCAGAUACAUGUGAAUUACACCAGAUACAUACAUAUACGUUUGUCUAGUGUGAUUCGCAUGUAUCUGGGAUACAUAACAGAUAUUGCUCGCUUCUCUCUCUAUUCUAGUGUAUAUGGUAGCAAAAAUACUUGUAUAAAAGUGUAUUUUUCUCAAUAUAUUAUAGGAAACUCUUAGUUAGUGGUAAGAUACGUAAUAUUUUUAAAGUAUAGAUAAUAAUAAUAUAUAUAGUAGUGAAGUAUGUCUAAUUAUGUAGUUUCUCCUUAUUUAAUCCUUAUAAAAACCGAGUAUAUAAAUGUAUAUACAUCUUAUAUAUAUAAUAUCGAUACAUUACAUAUACAUGGUCAUUUUGUUGUCAAUUAUUUUUAUUGGCGGUAUCGUCUAUGUAAGAAAAUCAUUUAUUUAUCUUUUUUUUAGUUCGUUUAAAAGAAAUACAUUUUUUCCUGUUGGCUUAGCUACCGGGCACUGAACUUCGCCACAUCUACAGGACUAAUAAUAACAUGGCAGAUGCACUGGCGAAGCAUGACAAAUCCUUAGCUUAUGAUCUUACCACCUAUGUAUCUCCCCCUCCUUUUAUUUCCUAUAUGUUCCUAGUAUAUAUAAAAGAAAUGCAUGUUCUAGCAAUAUAUAUAUCUUCAAUGUAAGAUUAUAAAAUUCAAUAAAGGUCUUCUUUACUUUUAAUAAAUUUUAUACAUGUUAAGUUAAAAUUAAACAAAUACAUUGAAAAAAAGAAGUAGAAGGAAUUAAGACCAAAAAGUGGGUUAAAGUUACGGAAAAGGGUCAAAUAUAUUUAAAAGUCCUGAUUUUUUUUUUACAAUUUAUAUUUACAUCAAAUCAUUUAAUACAAAAUAUAUGUCUUUUAUAAGCCUCUUGAUAUCUCAUUUCUGUCUUUCUGAAUUACAAUUUUGCUUUUUGAGUAUCAAAAGUUUAGGUCAUUUGGUUAUGGUGCUUCUGAAUUUUUGCAAUUUGAUCAAUAUACUAGUGUAAGUUAAAAACUAAGAAUUUUGGCACUGUCUUAAGCUUGGUGCACUAAGUUACUUGGUAGUUGGUAUCUAUUUUGUUGGAAGAAAGCUGAUAUUCCGUGAAAUUAGUCGCGGUGUGCGAAAGCUGGCCCAUAUAUACCCCAUAUUUUAGAUUUUUCACACAUCAAAUUAGUAUGAUGUCGUGGUUAUUUUACACUCUCAUGCACCAAAUUGCAUUAUUUUAAAUCAUUUGGAUUAUAAAAAAUCUAAGUAUAUGGUUAAUUAAGACCAAUUAUUGUUUAAAUUGGGGUACUGCCGUACUGAUUAUUAAAAAAGAAGAAGAUGACAAGUACACAUGCAAACAUUAGGACAAGACAUAGUUUAAGGGUGAGUUCAAUAAAAUGCAUCAAGUUUAGAAGCUGGGUUCUUAAUUUUUUUACUUUUUUUUACAAAGUUAUAGAUUUAUGCGAUCGAAACAAUACGAGUACACAUGCAAGCAUUAUACACGUAUAUACAUACUCAUGCUGAUAUGUACCAAAAAAAAUAAUUCACUCCGAUCAAAUAAUUAUUUCACCAAACAUAUAUGUCAAACUGUGUAAUUAGUAAUUACAUUACACUUAUUAAUAAUUACAUUCAUAUUCAUUCACAAGAUGUUCUUUCAAGCAGACAUGUUUAUUUUAUACAACUUUUUUACCACAUUAUACUGUACAACACAAAUUAAACCAUAUUUUAGAAACUUGCACACAACAUAAUCCAAAAGCCCAAUAAAACAAAAAAACUAUAGAAGUAAAAGACAACACAUAUACGUCCUUGUUUAUUGUGAUACAAGCAAGCAGAGAGCAUCACCAAUUAAAGCUGAUAGACUCAAAAUGGAGGUUUUGUGCCAAGCCAGAAGCACAUAUAUUGGCAACCUCAUGUCUCAUGCUCUUUGGCCCACAAACUACAACUCCAACAUCUGAUGCUUUAACAUCAAAAAGUAUUCCUGUCAUGCAAUUCAAAUAGAAUAAGUUCCUCUUGUGUAAUAAAUAUUUCAAGAACAAUAUUGAUGUGUGCCUAGAGCUACAUAUGACUUAUAAAGGAUGAUAUGCUUAAUUAAUACCUAAUAGUAAUAUUUUCAGAAUAAACUUACUUUUUAGGUCAGGUCUAGUACCAUAAUGCACCUUAGUAGCUUGUACAAUUGACUGAUGAGGAAGGCUUUCCAGCUCCCUUUCGGUACCACAUAAAUUAGCAGCAGGUGAAUUUGUAGGAUUUGUAGGUAUUUCCACAUUCUGAAUUUGUCUCCCUUCAAUUUCAUUCUCCCUUUUUUGCCACAUAAAAAUAACACUAGUGGCAAUAAAUACCGAAGCACAAGCCAAAAACAUAUCCCAAAUGAUUUUCGCGCUGUAAUGAUACAAUUUCCCAUCGCGUUCAAUUGGAUAUAUGGAGUAACGCGUAACGAGGCCUAACAAAAGGAGAAACAUGAAGAACGACGAGGUAAUUAUCGCCCCAAGCCAGAGCCAGCUGCUUUUGCCGAGUGCUGCUGAAAUAGGAGAGUCUUUCGGAUUUUGUUUGAACACUAGUAGUUGUUGUUUCGACUUGGAAGGUAAUUCCAGCUGGUUGUUAUGAUCGUGUUGUUGUGGUUCGUUUUCUCUAGUGACAUAGGCUUGGAUUUGGUAAUCUAAAUUGGAGAUAUCGAAAGGAGUUGUGGAGAAAGGGAGCAAGAGAUCAAGCAUUGUGAGAUCGGAUGUGUUCUUGAAGGAUGUAAUUAAGAUAACUUUUGGUACUUUGGUGUUAGUUUGAAGUGUACUUCUGUAAAUAAGUUCUCGAAAAAUGGAAAUCAUUGGAGCAAUUCCGCUUCCCCCACUCACCAUCACCAAGCACUCUCGACUGAAAUAUAUAUGCCACAUUGUUAUAGUUGGAACUUUGAAUAUACAGUUAUACACACGAAUAGCUUUAAAAAUAAUAAUGUAUAAUUAAAUUUGAAUCUAAAGAAAUAAAAAAUAUCACAUAAAUUAACACCGAAGAAAUAGUAAUUACCUUAAGAAAUGAGAUGAUGAAGGUCCAUAAGGUCCCUCUGUUGAUAUUUGAAGACGAUCAGGAGAAGAAGAAAGUUGUUUUUCUAACUUUUGGCUCCAACUCCCAACGCUUUUAAUUACAACACUUAGUUUAUCUGUCUCCAAAUUACUGCUUGAAACAAUAGUAAAUGGAUGCCACUGCAACUUGGAUACGCUUGGUACAUUCACAAACAAGAUGCUUGUAGGGUUGUACGUUAAUCCUGUUAUAAUUAAAGUAAAAAGAAAUAUUAUAAUUAGUACGUACGUACAACCUCCAUUAACAAUAAAUCUAGCUAGCAUAUAUGUACUACAGUACUACUUCUAUUUCAACCUAAGUACGUACAUCUUAGCUCCAUUAAAAUAUUACGUACAUACAUGCAUCCUCCAUUAGCAUUAAAUCUAUACACAUUUCAUUGGGAAUCGUUCCAAAUUUAGAAAAAGAUCAUUCUUUUAUAAACGAGGAAUAAAUUUUUACCUGGAUUUUUGGAAAAGGUGAGUUCAAAAGUGCUACAAGGUAAAAGUCGUGAAGAAAUUAAUCUAGCACUUCUUUUAGACUGUAAAAAUCUCAAGUAUCGAUCGAUGAGGAAGAGAAAGAUCCCAGGGAAGACCAUACAUGUGUAGGCAACUCCAACAUGCAAAAGAUAGAAGAACAUGUAGAGAGUAUAUAGCUGAUGUGUGUAGAAGAAUAGAUCGAACAUCUUUCUCCUUAUCUUGUACAAACUUGUAACCCACAUUGCUAUUGCAACCAAAAUAGCUAUUUCUCCAGCUACGUUCGAUACGUACGUACUGCUCCAUUCUAUCAUCUGCAAAAUAUUAUGUAUAUUUAUUAAUUAACCAUAUAUGUAUGACAUUAAUUAAUUAGCUUGUUUCGGUUAAAGAUAUACUAUUAAAGGUAAGAUGUUUGGACUCGAGUGUGAGGAUCUAGAGGUCGGAUCCUUUCUGAUCUAAAUUUUAUAAUUUUGGGGUGUGGAAAUUCAGGUAUGGAUACAUGUGCAGGAAUUUGACUAAAAAUAAUUAAAAUAUCUACAAAUAGCAUUAUAUUCUAAAUUAUGAGACAUUAUGUGGAAAACGUACAAGAUAUUUCGAGGAGAAAAUAUUGAACACCAAGAGAAUCCUAGAACAAGACAUAAUAUAUAGAAAAAGGACUAACAUAGAAAUUUCUAUGCGCAAGGUAUUCUAUUUUCUUUAAUUUCAUCUUAGCUUUUGUUUUGUUUAUAGAAAUCAUUGUAUCGAUCUAGAAUUUCUCCAAUCGAUUCUCAUUAAAGUAUUCAAAAUUGGUUGACCAUAUCCAGUACAGAUCCCACAGCCCCACCCACGUGGGUGCAACAUCGAGACUGAAAAGUCCGAGCAACUUAGCUUUAGUAUGUAGUAUUAAGUAAAUAAGAAAUAUGUGUUCUUGAUCUUUAAAUGCUUAAGUUAUUAUAAUUUAUAUGAGAUGAUCAGUGGUUGUUCUGAUCAUUGAUUAGUGUGAUGUUAUUUUAGGUGCACAAUUUGAAUCUUUCCCUUUGGAUAUCUAUACAUAAUUCAAAUUGAAAAUAAUGGAUUCAGAUAAAAAUUACCUCUAUCAUUUGAUUAGACAUGGCAUAGUAUAUGACAAAUCCAGCACUAUGGAGAAGGGCAAGGGCCAUAGAGAGAUGGCCGAGCCAUAUGUGAUAUUUGAUGCUUGAUUCUGAAGUUAACCCCAUCAGCGGCAAAAUUGACGACACUCGAGUCACUGGGAAAAACAAAAACGCAUAACAAAUAUUCCCAAGGUACCCAAGCCUCAACGAUACACUUCGAAAUUUCGCCUUCCACCUAUAAAUUAUUAAUCCAAUAAUCCAAUAUAUCGAUCGAUAAGAUAUAUAGGAUUUAAUUACUCGUAGUCGUAAUUAUUUUAAUUAUUGAUCGAUGAAUGAGUACUUACACUUUUUCGGUAGGAUUGUGCAUAUGGAGAUUACCAUUAAAGCUGAUAUAGAUGUAGUUGGCUAAAGACCAAAUUAGAAGGACGAUAAACAUAACAGCAAAAGAAAGUUCAACGGCGUUCACAAUCCCCAGAGGUUCCAUUACAACCACUUUCCGUUUCAAUGAACCGAAAUAUUCCCUCCCUUUAUUAGUAGUACUACUGCAGUACAACAAUAUAAUUAUUAUACAUUAAUUAAACAUGAUGCCUAACUAUCGAAGAUGAAAUUAAUAAUUGUGUAAUUAAUUAUAACCUGUGAUCAGAAGUUGACUUGUUGUAAAGAUGAAGAUAAACACAGCUCACAGCAGCUAUCAACAUUAUGGGAAAUGUAAAUAAAAGAAGAUUUAUCCCUGUAAAUUAAGACAAUUAGUGAAAAGUUUAUUAGCUAAAUUAAACAUCCUUAUAAAGUUUUCCCAAAAUAUAGCUACAAGGUCAAUGAGUCUUUUGUUCUCCACGAGCUUUUUAGGGUUAGGGCACAAUUCGGAUCCACGAGAAUUCAAGACAAAUUAUAAGCGAUUAAUCUGGAAAUCAAACACGAAGAAGUAAGUAUAACAAUAUGAGUAAAACAGAUAUAAUUACUACCUUGUUCCCUGAAAUAUGUAGAAUUAAGCUUGAUUUUGAGUUGUGGAGUCCAUGAAUUUCUGUAAGUCGGUGUAGGUAACAUCACCCAAAUGAAAAGCCAUCCAACAAACACCAACACCAUGAAAGUAUACAAAACAGCUCUACUUCCCAUCUUUGCAAAAUUAACUGAAUGAUUAUUCUUCUUUGGAAUUAAUUAUCUCAAUACAAGAGAUGCUAUCUAUAUAUAGAAGAAUGUGUUCAAGUGGAACAUCAUGCUUCAUGCUUUUAGGUUUACCUAUUGUGAUUGAUGUAAGCUACAAAUUCCCUUGCGUAGACUUCUCAAGUGGCACUAUUUCUCUAGUUUUUAAAGGUAAGUACUCCACCGUUCCUAAAUACUUGUCAUCCUUACUAAAAAUAAAUGGUCGAUAAUAGUUAUUAGUUUAGAAGAUCAAGACAUAAUUAGAAGUAAUAAGUAACUCGUCAUAUUAUCCUCUAGUUAAAAAAUUUCUUAAGAAUUGUGCAAAACAAAACAUGACAAGUAAUUAGAACCGGAGGAAGUAUAUAGCCGGUGUGAUUAUUAUAAGAUUAUAUCUACAUUUGCCUUUGAAGAAAGAGGAAGAGCCAAUUUACCACUUUUGACAAGGUGAAAAAAGAGUUUAAGUUGAAAAUUAAAGAUCCCUCUUGGUCUUAAAAUAUUACUAGAAAUAUUCUAUACUUCUAGGUUUAGUACUUAUACUAAUGAUAGAAUAUAUAUAUACUUUUUCAAUUUAAAGAAUAUUUUCUUUUCCUUUUAGGUUAGGAUCUACAUUAAGAUCUUCCUAGUAUUAGAAGGAGGUUUGAUAAGGCCAACUUUUUUGUAAGCUAAAUUAUUCUUGAUUCUAGCUAGGGAAGAGACUUUGUAUAGACUAAACUCUUCUUUGAAGAUUGUUAUCUUGUUAACAAACUUUCUUUUGUUUUUGGUUAAAAAGGAUAAUAUUCAUUAGUACAUAGUAGUGGCAGCACGCUGUGUCUGCUUACAUUGUUCUAGCUAGGGAGGGGAUACACUAGUGGAAUUAACAUUACAUAGUGGCAAUACAUUGUGCCUGCAUAUAUUGUUCUGGGAAGGGUUAGUACUAAUAUUACUAUCAUUACAUGCAUAUAUAUAUAUAUCUAAGGCAACAUUUUCCUUGACUGUUCUAACAAAAGUAGUUCCUUCCCAUGUCUGCGUGCCCGCAUCUUGUCCAAAACGAACACCGGUGGAAAUUCCCAGCAAAAAAAGGAGUUUGGUUUCUCCAGCUAGUAAUGUCCCCUCCCCUGCCACCUGAUUAAUUAGCUUCCCUAAAGUUUUGGUGGACUGGGGGGUUCCCCAGCAUCCGUAGGAUACGGGGUUGUCCUCUUUGAGGAAGACUAGUAUGUCUCUGCAUGCAGUCGGUGGUUAAUUACUUCUUUUGUUACAGUGAGGUAAGGUCCAUGUCCCCUCCUUUUGAAUGCUUGCUCUUUAAUGGAUAUAGACUUGGAAACUUCACUAUAAAUAGUGAUAUAGUAAUUGUCUUCUUUUCUAAGACAAGGCAAUAAAUUACAUUGUUGCUAAUUCAUAGCUAAAUGGAAUAAGCAUGAGAUUUAAUUUCUUCCCUUUAGCUAUGAAAUUCUAUCCGCAGCUAAUUUCAUAGUGUACGCGAGGAAUCAAAUCUAGAGAGACAGCUAACACCGCGCAUAAUACAAAUCGAAUUAAGCUUGAAGGGAGUUAUAAUUAGGGCAUCCUAUAUAUGGGCAAAGUGGAGUCAAAGAGGAUAUGCUUCACAUGAACUAGUAAUUACCAAAGAGCAAACUAACCUAAUAUAAUUGGGAAGGGAACCAAUGGAACAAAAAAGGCCAAAUACAAGGUGCAGGUACAAUAAUCCACUACUUGAAACUAUGAAAUUAACUACGAAAUUUAAUGACAAUCUGCCGCUAAAAAACUUUUAACUAAUUGAAUCUUCUUAAAAUCUGUCGCUAAAUGGAAUUAGCAUGAGACUUUUGUUGUUAAGCUAUGAAAUUUUGUCCGUCACUAAUUCCAAAUGGAAUAGUUCCUACUGGACCCAACUCAUGGAAGGCCCCUGAAGAUGCCGUAAAGAAAACUACACAUAGAAUGUAUAUUCCUUUUUUAGUUUAAGAAUAUUUCAGAAUAUUUACUUUUGCCUUUAGGUUAAUUAGAUCUAAAUGAUGAUAGAAUAUUCUACAUUAAUAGUAAGCUAUUUUCUUUUUCAUUUCUUUCUCUUUACUUCACUAUAUAUAUAUAUAUAUAAUACAUAAUAAUCGAUUUGGUGAUAUUCUCUUCUUUUCGACAAGGUAAUAAAUUACGUACGUAAAUGAUUUUGUUUUUAUCAUUCUCUCUUUGUUUAAUCACUUGGAUCUGUUUAUUAAUUAAAGGCACUUGUAGGCUACAUUAAAAAUGAUUUUUAUUAGAGGCAAGUAAUUAAUCGUAAUAAUUUAAUUGCCGUAAAAUAUGUUUUUUUUAGACAAUUACUAAUGACAAUUAUAUUUUAGCACUCUUUAUAAAUGCUGCUAAAAUUUAUAGCGAUAUUGAAUUUAAUGACAAUUAACAUAUGCUGAUAAAGGCUUUGACACUCUUUAUUAAUGUGUAUAUGUAUUACCGCCAAAACUUGUUUUUGUUAUAAACUUAUAAUGUCAUGGAAAAUUAAAAGUUCUAAAGGAAGGUCCCAAGAUGCUCAAAUUUUCACUCAGAAUGUAUUCAUGCAGUGGUGGAGGCAGGAAUUCUAUCAAGGGGGUUCAAAUAAAAAAAAUGUUGUUGCUUGGAAUCGAACCCAUGACCCAAAGCUCACAUAGGCUGAAUCCUGACCCCCAUAAACCACUGAGCUACUCCUUUGACAUAUGCUCAGGGGGUUCAAUUUUAAAUAUAUACACGUACACAAAAAAAUUGAUCGUAUAUAUAUAGUGUAAUUUUUUUUCCGAGGGGGGUCGGAUGACCCCCUGGACACACUAUAGAUCCGCCCCUGUAUUCAUGCAGUAUGGUUCGAGAGAAACCUGAGGACCUUUAGAAUAGCAAACUAUUAUAGUUUUGCUAUGUGUGACGUCCCGCCACUGUGACAGCCCAAUUUCGCAGCCGGAUAGGGGCAGAACGUUCUAGAGUUGAGGAGAGGCUUGCGGAGAACUCUAGAAACCUUUAGAUUUCUCAAGAAGGCCAUGGAAGGUCCUAGACCAUGUAGAUUUCUCUAGAAAGGGACCUUUGUGUAAAUAUCUUAGGGACUUGUAAAGUAAUUUUAAUUUACACUUUAGCCCUUAGUUGGUAGUAUAAAUAGAGGUGCCAACCAUUUGCAAGGCAUCACUCAAGUUGUAAAGCAAUACACAAAGCCUUCUUCAAAAACUCUCUUUUGAUCUUUCUAAGUUUUUCCUUUCAUUCUCUUAGCGAUCUUAGCAUAAAGAGCUUCCUUGAGCUUACAAGAUCUUGAAAGAUAGUGAGUAAGUUGUCAAGAGCCGCACAGAGCGUUAGUGAAAACUCUAAGUCCGUGACAACGUGGUAUCAGAGCGAGGUUUGAUACUAAGGGAAUGGCAACCGAAGGAGACGUAAACGCCGCUAGCACCACCAACGUCCGUUCGGAUGGUGGAAGGAAGAGCCGCAAGGGAAAGAAGCACCAAAAGAGUAAUGAGGAAAUGCUACUGGAGCCUACACAAAGCGAGGCGCUAACAUCUCAACCACCUUCGACCACCGAAACAAGUGACGAUGAACGUGGCGAGGAGCCCAUUGACGUCACCGCUGGAAAGGAAUGGGUCGCAAGAGUUGAAGUGGCGAGGCAGGCCGUGGAGAUAUUAGGCCGACGCAUGAAUGUGGCCGACGGCAAGUUCAAAACUCUUGAAGACUUCACCCUUGAGGAGACCGAAAACAUCCGUAAGGAGUUGGAGAGACGUCAGUGGGCCGAGUUCAAGAUGAAGGAGGCCAUCACUUCUUUGGAGUGUCGGCUCAUGGAGGUGUUAAGUACAAUUGAAACCAUGAAGGCCGAUAUGAAGGCAGUUAAGGAAGGCGUAGAAGCUGAAGGAUCGACGUCACCCGACCGUGACAGGGAGCCCAGGGUCGAGGCUCUCAAGCCACCUAUAUUUAAAGGCAUCCGCGAUGCUCAAGAGGUGGAGAACUUUUUGUGGCACUUAGAGAAUUACUUCAAGUGUAGUCGGGUGAAGAGUGACAAGAACAAGAUUAACACUGUCGUGUUGUAUCUUUUAGAGAUGUCCAUGCUUUGGUGGAGACGCAAGGAAGCCGAGAUAGGGAAGGGGACGUGCACCAUCAACACGUGGGAACAAUUCCGUGAGGAGUUCAAGAAAGCCUUCUUCCCUUACAACGUCAUAUAUGAGGUUAAACGCAAGUUCAGGGAACUGAAGCAAACAGGUAGCAUUCUGGCGUACGUAAAGGAGUUCACAACUCUAACGCUUUAGAUUCCCAACCUCACAGACGAAGACAUAUUGUUCCACUUCAUGGAUGGACUGCAGAACUGGGCCAAGACGAAGUUGGAGCGGCGACAGGUUAAGACCAUAGACGAGGCCAUCACGCAAGCAGAAUCCUUGACCGACUAUAAGCAUGAACGGCAUGACAAGACGAAAGGCAAAGAUGCAAGGAGCAGUCAUGCCAAAGGUGAGGGAGGUCGUGGCCGAGGCAAGGAGCAGCAGGCACACCCUAAGCAGUACGACUCCCACAAGUCGGACAACAAGCGGUUCGUGCGCUAGAAUUACACGGAGAAAAAGGCGCAGACCACCAAGGGAGAUGGUUGCUACAUAUGCGGAGGACCACACGGCUAUGCCAUAUGCCCAAAGAUGAAGAACCUUGGUGCCAUCCUACGCGAACGGAAGGAGAAUGAUGCACAAGAGCAAGGACAGAACGCGGGCACGACGCAGUUGGGCAUGGUUGGACUAUGCAAGGCUAUAGCUAAGCAGAUAGAGAGCCAAGAGACUUCAGCACACAGUAUGUAGACAUCUCCAUUAAUGGAUGAAUAGCUCGUGCCAUGGUGGACUCCGAGGCAGAAGCAAAUAUCAUGACCAAGACGGCGGCAGAGAGGUUAGGGCUGAACUAUGUUCCAAGCAACACCCGCCUCAAAACGGUCAAUGCACCACCGAUCCCCGUGUGCAGAGUCACCCAAGGAGUGAGCAUCACGUUAGGAAAGUGGCAAGGUAAGACAAACUUCACCGUCGCUCAUUUAGAUAUCUUUGACAUUAUUCUUGGGCAGGAGUUCUUCCAGCGCUGCCAUACGAUGAUCGACCCCUACCUCCAAUGACUCAUGGUCAUGGAGCGGGAAGGGUCGUGCAUGGUACCUUUAAUUAAGGUGCCGAAAAAGGAAGGACACACCCACUUGUCAGCCAUGCAGCUUGUGAAGGGGCUGAAGAAAGGGGAGCCGACGUUUUUAGCCACCAUUGCAAGUUUGGAAGAAGACAAUGGUGGCAAGUAAACAAGGACGUGAUGCCAGACGAGUUGUCGAAGACUCUACCUCCGAGGCGCGAGGUAGAUCACAAGAUAAAAUUGGAGGUUGGAGCCAAGCCACCUGCACAUGCACCUUACCGCAUGGCUCCACCCGAAUUAGAGGAGCUGAGGAAGCAGUUGAAGGAGCUCCUCGAGGCCGGUUACAUCCGUCCAUCCAAGGCACCUUAUGGCGCGCCAGUACUGUUCCAGAAGAAUAAAGAUGGAUCCUUACGCUUGUGCAUCGACUACUGGGCGCUUAAUAAGGUAACUAUUAAGAACAAGUAUCAUAUCCCGCUCAUUGCAGAUUUGUUUGACAGGCUUGGGCAGGUGAAAUACUUCACCAAGGUGGAUCUCCAAAAAGGCUACUACCAAGUGCGUGUUGCGGAGGGGGAUGAACCGAAGACGGCGUGCGUGACGAGGUACGGAGCUUACGAGUGGUUGGUGAUGCCUUUCGGCUUAACCAAUGCACCCACUACAUUCUGCACGCUAAUGAACAAGAUCUUUCAUCCCUACUUGGAUCAGUUCGUGGUGGUCUACCUAGAUGACAUAGUCAUCUAUAGCAACACCUUGGAGGAACAUGUGGAGUAUCUGAAGAAAGUCUUCCAAGUCUUGUGGGAGAACCAGUUUUACAUCAAGCGGGAGAAGUGCGAGUUUGCCCAACAUAAGGUGCACUUCUUGGGCCAUAUCAUUAACCAGGGCGAACUAAGGAUAAACGAGGCUAAGAUUCGGGUGAUCCAGGAGUGGGAGGCGCCCACCAAAGUGACCGAGCUACGAUCAUUCCUUAGACUUGCGAAUUAUUAUCGCAGGUUCAUAAGUGGCUACUCCGCGAAGGCCGCUUUACUGAUCGAGUUGUUGAAGAAAAAUAAGUCGUGUGUUUGGAGCGAUGAGUGCCAGCAAGCAUUCGAAUGUCUCAAGGCCGCAGUAACAGAAGAGUCGGUCUUGAUGCUGCCCGACUUUUCAAAAACCUUCGAAGUGCAUACGGAUGCUUCGGACUUUACCAUUGGGGGAGUCUUGAUACAGGAUCGACAACUAAUAGCAUUUAAGAGCCGUAAGUUGAACGAGACCGAAUGGUGCUACACGGUGCAGGAGAAAGAAAUGACAGCCAUCGUACAUUGCCUGCGCAUGUGGAGACACUACCUGCUAGGCUCCAAGUUCGUAGUUAAGACAGACAACGUGGCCACUAGCUACUUUCAGUCGCAGAAGAAGAUCAUCCCGAAACAAGCUAGGUGGCAGGAUUUUCUAGCUGAGUUCGACUACGUCUUGGAGUACAAGCCAGGAAGAGGCAAUGUCAUGGCCGACGCGCUAAGUAGGAAGACCGAACUUGCUGCCAUCACGACAUCCCAUUGUGAUAUUCAAGAUGCAAUCAAAGAUGGCAUACAACAUGAUCCCGAGGCCAAGAAGCUAAUAGAGUUAGCCUCCCAAGGCAAGACUAGGCGCUUUUGGGAGGAAGAUGGCAUUUUGCUCACGACGGGUCGAAGGGUCUAUGUACCGAAGUUCGGGUCCAUCAGGCAGCGAAUCAUUAAGGAAAGCCACGACACACCAUGGGCCUGACAUCCAUGGCAGCGACGAACGAGGGCGCUGAUCGAGGCUAUAUAUUUCUGGCCACGCAUGCGGGACGAUAUCGAAUGCUAUGCGUAGACUUAUCUUGUGUGCCAACAAGACAAGGUGGAGCAAAGACAUUUGGGCGGACUACUAAAGCCACUACCCGUAGCGGAACGCCUAUGGGAAAGCGUGAUCAUUGACUUUAUCACUUCCCUACCUAAGUCCGACGGGUAUGAAACUAUCAUAGUCGUGGUGGACAGGUUCUCAAAGUAUGCUACCUUCAUACCCGCCACAGUCGGAUGCACUGCAAAGGAGGCCGCUCGAUUGUUCUUCAAAAAUGUGGUGAAAUAUUUGGGGAUGCCAAGACAUAUCAUUAGCGACCGAGACCCCCGCUUUACUGGAAACUUUUGGAAAGAGUUGUUCGAGAUACUUGGCACAAAACUUCAUUUCUCCACAAGUUUCCACCCGCAAACCGAACGCGUCAACGCCCUGUUGGAGUGCUACCUGAGGCACUAUGUCAGUGCGCACCAAAAGGAUUGGGCCAGACUCCUAGACAUGGCGCAGUUUUUAUAUAAUUUGCAAAUGAGUGAGUCCACCGGGCGCACACCGUUUGAAUUGGCGACAAGUCAACAACCCCAAACUCCGUAUUCUUUACCGGCUACUUUGAAGGGAAGAGUUUGGGCGCUUACCAUCUUGCCAAGGGAUGGGAAGAGCAACUUGACACUGCCAAGUCCUACUUGGACAAGGCAGCAAACAAGAUGAAGAAGUUUGCCGACCGCAAACAACGUCCCACAGAUUACAAAGAAGGCAACAUGGUCUUGGUGAAAUUCAAUUCAAGACAGUUCAAGGCACUAAGAGGUGUUCAUCAAAACUUAGUACGAAAAUAUGAGGGUCCGUUCAGGAUCGUUGCCAAGGUGGGCAAGAUCUCAUAUAAGGUGGAGUUGCCUCACACUUUAAAAUCCAUCAUGUGUUUCACGCAAGCGUCCACAAGCCGUACCAUGAGGACAAGGAAGACACUAGCCGGAACCAAUCACGACGGGCUCCCAUUACUGUCACUGCCUCGCAUGACCAGAAGAUUGAAGCUAUCAUAGACUAUCAAGCCUAACGAAAGUGGGGUCAACAAGCCAGCGCCAUGUUCCUUGUGCAUUGGAAGGGACAAUCUCUGGAGGAGGCCACAUGGGAGAAAUAUGAAGACUUGUGGCAAAUCAAAGACCAAGUCCGGGAGUUUCUGCAGCAAUGCGCCGCGGUCAUCGCAUCAUCAGGUGGGGGAGCAUGUGACGUCCUGCCACUUUGACAACCCAAUUUCGUAGCCGAAUAGGGGCAGAACGUUCUAGAGUUGAGGAGAGGCUUGCAGAGAACUCUAGAAACCUUUAGAUUUCUCAAGAAGGCCAUGGAAGGUCCUAGACCAUGUAGAUUUCUCUAGAAAGGGACCUUUGUGUAAAUAUCUUAAGGACUUGUAAAGUAAUUUUAAUUUACACUUUAGCCCUUAGUUUGUAGUAUAAAUAGAGGUGCCAACCAUUUGCAAGGCAUCACUCAAGUUGUAAAGCAAUACACAAAGCCUUCUUCAAAAACUCUCUUUUGAUCUUUCUAAGUCUUUCCUUUCAUUCUCUUAGCGAUCUUAGCAUAAAGAGCUUCCUUGAGCUUACAAGAUCUUGAAAGAUAGUGAGUAAGUUGUCAAGAGCCACACGGAGCGUUAGUGAAAACUCUAAGUCCGUGACAUAUGGCUUUGUAAUUUUUAUAUCUUGAUAAUUAAUAAAAUGUUUGUUAUAAAAAAAGAGUUUAAGUUAUAUGUAUGAUUAGUGUAAGAAAAUUUUAUACUAUCAAGUUUGAUUUUAUUUGUUGUACCUCAUGUAAUUUGUUUUAUUUUAAAUAUUACAAAUUUCAUAGCUUAGAGCAAGUUCUCAUGUAAAUAAACUAUAGGGGACCUGCUAAAGUAAUUUUACUUUGAAAUUUAAAAAAUAAAGUUUUUAAAAUAUUUAACACUUAAUAAUUAAUUGAUAAACAUGUCGAUGAAAAAGAUCAAAUAUCUUGCAAUCAUAAUUAGUUAAUGCAAAUACCGGGGUGAGUAAAUUUUAUCACCAAAAAUUCCAUAAGAAUUAUGAGUCAAAAGUGCAUUAGAAAACUUAAUAUGCAUUAGUAAUUAGUUGGGUUUAUUAUUAGUACCUUUUUUUAAUUUAUGUAUAACUAAAUAUUACGGUAUGUAUAAUUAAUAUAUAGAAAUUCAUAUUAUUAAUAAUACAAGAGAUUUUAAUGCAAUACAUACUAUUUUUAAUACACAAUUAUUCAUCAAAACUUUUUCCACAUCUUUUCCAUCAUAUUUAUAGAAAAUAUUUUUUGUAAGCAAAUAUUAUUUCGUUUAGAAAUCAUGCUUAUUUUAAUACAGCAAAUCAAACAAUGCUUAAGAAAUAAUCACAUUAUAACUAAUUUCAUCAUUAUUAAUGUCAUCAAUCAUCAUUAUUAUUACAUCAUAUUUAACAUCAUUCUUAUGCACCCUACCAAACAACUCUCAGCCGAACCCCGUGAAUGAAUUAAAAUUAUUUUCUUGACAACUUACUAAGUACUAAUCCUAGGUUGGAAUAAUUAAGUUGACAAAUUGGAUAGCAAAUAGGAAGGAUGCAUUAAUAUUUUAAAGACCUAUAGAUGAUUUAAUUAAGAUAUCCUCUACUACUCAUAAAGUAACUGGAGAAUGAAAAAUUCCAAAAUUUCAGAUGGUACUACUAGCAUUGCAAGUACAGUUGACAUAAAAUUGCAGUACACAACUUUAGUAGUACUCUCAAAGAUUGACAAUCUUAAUAAUAGCAUGUCCACGUUUUUGGGAGAUCAAAAAUACUUAUUUCUUAAAAAUAAGGGAAAAUAGUCUGAAAAAUACUUCAACUUUGAUCGAAAUUGCUGUUACGAUACCAAACUUUAUGGGAGACCUUUUACCCCCCUUCACUAUUUAAUAGUAUAUUUUAAAGGUAUAUAUGUGCCCACGUGGACACAUUACUAUUUAUAAUAAUGCAAUAUUUAUGAUGUCCACGUGAGCACAUAUAUACCUUUUAAAAUACACUAUUAAAUUAGUGCAGGGGGUAAAAAUGUCCUUUUCCAAAAGUUCGGUAUUGUUACAGCAAUUUCGGUCAAAGUUCAAAUAUAUUUCAGACAUUUUUCCCUAAAAAUUAGAUAUUUAAUCAAACUUUAUUUUUAGGGGGGUAAGUGUUUGUGUGGAGCAAUAAAAGUCAUUCUUUCAGAAGCUAAAAACAAAGGGUGUGUUUGAUAUGAAGGAAAACAUUUUUCGGAAAAUGUUUUUUAAUUUUCACAUGUUUGGUUGGGUUAAAUGUUUUGGAAAAUGUUUCCUAAAUCAACUCAUUCCUCAAAUUUAAGAAAAAUGACCUCCCUUCAAAAAUUAAAGAAAACAUUUUCCAAAACUCUCAUCCAACUUCAAAUUACAAUUAUUUUUGUUUUGAAAAAUAAAUUUAAAGCUUAUUUCAAUUUUUUUUAAAAUAAUUUAUAGUUUGUUUUUAAAAAAUAUUUCUAAUUUUUAUUUUUUCACCCCACCCCUACCCUCGAAUCACCCCCAUCAGUCCCCACCCCCCUCCAAAAAAAUAAUUUUAAGUUUGUUUUUUUAAAAAAUAUUUUCAACUUCAAUUUUUUAUUUUUUUAACCCCUCAAAAAUAUUUCCAAUUUCAAAUUUCUAUUUUUCCCAAACAAGCAAAAAAAAAAUUGAUGGACAGAUAAAAUGAAUUAUAAGAUGAGAAAAAAAAGAGGCUAUUGAUUAACUAAUUACAGGAUCAACACUACAAACCUUUGAUACAAUUAAAAUACGUAUUGAGCUUGUUUUAAUGAAACAAUGUACACAAAACCUUAGCUUGAUGUAGUAAAAGAUAAUUGUGUUGUUGUCAUGGUCUGCCAUAUUAAACGGAAAAAAAUAAAUUUUAUAUAGAGUUCAAAUAAAUUCUUUAUCAACUUGGGUUGAGAAUAUUGAUAUUGUUAUUAUUGUUUACAAAACAAUAGUAUGAUAUAAAAAGAAAAUGUCAAUACAAAUUACAAGCUGACCGAUGAGGGAUAAGUUGAUAACUAUUUAAUAAUAAUAUCACUCGCAAUGUUGAUAGGAACGUUAAUAUAUUUAGUGUGUUUUUAUAAGUGGCGUUUGAAAAAAAAUGGAAUACACACAUAUUUUUAUUUUUAAUAAAUUGAGAUUAUUUUCGAUAGAUCUUUGAUUUAAAAAUGAGAAUAGAUAUUGCUAUUUUUUUUUUUGAAUAUAUAGAAUAGGUGGUUAAUAACCAAAUUCUUUGUAGCAUAAUUAUGUUUAUGCAAAAAGUGGCUUCCUGACUCCUGAGGAUGCAACAAAGAGUCAAUGAUUUUUAUAUAUUAUAAGGUAAAAAUAUAAGCUAACAACAAAAGAGAAAAGAAAAAAAAACAAAGUCAACAAUAACUACUUAUUUAGGAUUACGUAACUUAGACACCUCAUUAAUUAAUUAAAAGAGGAUCUAGUGAAAGGCUAUACUUGUUAUUUGCUGAAUAUCCAACUAAUAUAUAUAUCUGACUUCAGAUUUUUUGAAAAUAUAAUAAUAAAAGUAAACUAAUCGAGCUAUUGAAAUGGUAAAAGUUUAUUCAUAGUCGGUGUUAUAUCUAUUGGAGAAACAAAAGAAAUAUAAUUAUAAUGUUCUUCAUUUUAGAACUACCACAAUUAUGUAGUAUUAUUCUGUCUUAUCAUGCCCAUAUUUAUAUAUGAAAUCACUUACCUUUUUUCCGGACAUAUUAUGCAAUACCAUCAUAUUCGUAUCAGGGAAUAUAACGAGCCAAAUCAAAUGAGAUGACCAUAUGAAUUUUUAUUAAAAUCAUAUCAUUUGUUUGUCAUUAUUAUAUUACUACUAAAUUAUAAUCGGUCGAUUUUCUUAGCGUCAAAAAUCGAAGAAAUGCAAGCCAAUCUCCCGAGGAUAAAGAUUGCAAAAAAAAAAAAACCUCUUCAAUUUGUUUGAAAAGUUUUUUUGAAAAAAAAAACUAUCUCGAAAAGUCAAUUUUUGCAAAAAAAAAAUAUUUUUUUACGAAAUAUAAAUUUAAAGAAUACAAGGAAAAAUAAUAGUCUUUAAAUCAAUAAGUAUCAAUGAUAAUGAAAAUGAUAGAAAUAGAUCCUACCACAUAGAAGAUGGGAAUUCAAAUCUAGGAUGGUGCAUUUUAUUAGUUUAUAAUUUAAAAAUCGACUUCAUGAAGUGUCUUCAAUUGUGAUGAAGAAAAAUAAAAAUAAAAAGGGAGAAAUAAGAUAUAAAAAAAAGAAGAGAAAAUGACCUUUUUAAUUUUUUAAUGAAUAAAGAUCUUUGGUAAAAAGAUAUAAAACUAUUUUUUUAAUUUUAAUUUUUAUAAAUGACCUAUAAAAUCGAUUCUUCUCAAUAAGGUUGUUUUCUCUCCUUCUCGUCUCACUUUUUUCAUGUCUUUUCGUUUUUUUUUAAUGGAGUUAUAUCUAUAUAGCUUGAAUUCUAAAUUAUAUUUAUAUUAUAUAAAUCUACAAUAUAAAAUUCCUUAUAAGAUCAAUCAAAAUUUAAUUUGUAAUCAUUUUAGACAAAAAAUUUAUGACAUAUUGGCAUUAUUCCUUUCCUGGUUUGGUUACUAACACCUUGUUUGGAUGGUUUUACCUAUUGUAGUGUAUUGUAUUAUUAGUUUAAAUACAAAUAUUUGUUUUAAUUGUUAUUUAAAUUUUAUUAUAUCGUAUUGUUUAAAUUCAUUGUUAGAUAAUAACAAAAAUCUCUUUUUUAUGUAACGACCGAUUUGAUGUGAUCGCAUCGUUACUUAAUAUUUUCUUCUCAAUUUAUCUUUAUUUAUAAUUUAAUAAUUAUGUUUAAUCUUUUAGCAUAUCCUUUCAAAGUAACUCUAUACUCUGUAUCGUACUUUUUUUCUUGGCUUAUCAUUCAAAUUAUUGAUAUGUGACCUUAUAUAAUAUUGAUGGAGAACGAUACAAUCUAUUCAAACAUUCUAUUCAUUAAACAAUAUAGUUCGAUAUAAUACAACACAAUACAAUACAUUAUGAAAUAAUACAUAACAACCAAUAAACAUAAAAAUCCCAUAAGUUGUAAAACUAUUAAAAUAGCCCCAAUUGUUUAUUCAAUCUUAUCAAAUAAACAAAAAUUAUAAAAUCGCAUAAUAAAUUAUUACAAAGUUAUUUGUUCUUCACUUAAGUAAUUGUUUCAUCUAAAAAAUUGAACAUAAAUUGUACUUGAUAUGCUCAUAUCUCUCAACUACUCUUACAAAUAACCUAUAAAGUAGAAAAAAAACAUACAUUAGUGGGUAAAUAUUAACUUAGAAGUUAAAUACACUAAGAUAAAAAUUAACAAACAUCACUGACUUCUAACUAUUUACAAGAAAAAUCAAUAGUUAAAUAUUAUUGAAUAACGAAAUUUUAAAAAGUUACCACAAGUUUGAGUCAAAAACACUUCUAAUAAAAUUUAAUCAAAAAAAUUAUAACUAGUCCACUUGACUAAAUAUUAAUAACUAAUUGAUCAAAUUUUCCCAAGUCCUCAAUCAAUUGGACUUGAUAUUCUUCAGUCAUGUGAACGAACAUUUUGAAAUACUAAGAUUAAGAAAGUGCGGCACCGCCAAUGAAAAUUGUCUUUUAUCAAUAUUAUGCUUAGUCAUAAGAUUAAGACGUUUUUUUUAUUAUGAAAAAUAAAGAAAGUGUUACUCCCUUCGUUCUUAUUUAUAUUCACCAAAUGAAUUUCUACUUUAUCAUUUAUAUUCACCAAGUUUAAAGUAAUAAUAAAUUUUAUAUUGGUGAGAAUAAUAAAUUUUAAAAAGUAAUGAUGUGAUUAUAAAUUUUAUUUACAUAUGAAAUAAAUGGUUAGCAGAUAUAAAUGUGGGGUUGUUUUAACAAAAUAUUAACUCAUGGAUCAAAUAUUGUAUUAAAAUAUCUCAAAUCAUGAUAUGGAAUCACCAUGUGAUUCCAUAUCAUGGUUUUUGGAGAAUAUGGUAUCACCUCUCAUGAUAUGGAAUCAGCGUAAAAUCGCAUGUCCAAACGCUGAUUCCAUCUCACGACACCAUAUCGUGAUAUGGUAUCGCAUGACCAAACGCCUACUAAAUAAAGUGGAAUUAUAAAAUACUGUGGGAUCGUUUGGUAGAGUGUAUUAGGAAAAAUAAUGCAUGUAUUAGCCUUGUGUGUUACUAGUAUCUUGUUUGGUACUCUUUUUCAACCUAUGUAUAACUAAUGACACUCUAUUGUGUAUUAAGGUGUGCAUUGCUAAUACCAUGGAUUUCUAGAUAUUAGCAAUGCAAUGGUUUUAAUGCAUGUAUUAACAUGAUAAAAGACUCAAUUGCUCCUCAAAACUUUUUUUUACAUCUUUUCCACCAUAAAGUGGAAGGUAUUUUUGUAAUUAAUUUUUUUAAUGCAAUACAUGUUAUUUUCAAUGCAUUAAUUGAAAUAAUGCAUUGAAAUAAUCUAUGUAUAAUUAAUGCAAGUAUAACUAAUACAUGCAUUGCUAAUAUAAGCAUUACUAAUACACUCUAUUUAACAUUAUUCUUAUAUACUCUACCAAACGACCCCUGUAGGUUAUAUCAGGAUAAGUUAUCCCUACCAAACAAUAAAAUAAUAUAUCAAGAUUAAUAUCCCAAUAAAACGAUGAAAAUGACAAAAAUACCCCUAAGAUUCCUCAAAAAGUCCAAUUUGUCCUCGACCCUCCAUGGCUACUAGUGAUAGUGAACCAAAAUUAAAAAUCUCAUCCCUACCCCCUUCAAUUUUCAUCCAAUUCUUUUCCUUCAUAUUCCCUUCUAUCUGUUGCCCAAUUUCAAGAAUCUUCUCCUCUUUGCCCUUCUCUGAUUCUUCUCUUCAAUUGCCCUGAUAAGCUCAUCGUAAACAUGCGUUCGGAUUCCGGGUCGGGUUUUCCAUCGUCGGUGAGAAUUUCUGGGCUCAACACCACCGGAAAAGGUGGACCAGCGUUUGUUGGUCAGGUUUUUAGCAUGUGUGACCUUUCCGGAACUGGUCUUAUGGCUGUAUCGACCCACUUUGACAUACCCUUUCUCUCCAAAAGGUAAUCUUUGUAUCUGUUUUUCCAAUUACCUUUGAGUUUCUCUCGUACUAUCAUGUCAGAUUAUGUUUGAAAUUGAUAUGGAUACAGUCAAGUUGUUAUCUUUUUGCUUCCUUUGCAAUGUUUUUGGCAUCAGUAGGAACUGAGAGAACAUUUUUUUUUUUUUUUUUUUGAAACUAACUGAGAGAACAUUAGUGUUAGGGGGAGAGAACAUUAGUGAUUAGUUGUCUAUAUUCACGGGAGUACAAGCACUUUGAGAAUGAACACAGUUUAGUAUUGUACUCUGGGAUGGCCAGAAUGAGAAGCAGCUAAAUGGUUUUUUAGGAAAAAAAAUGUGUAGUAAAAAAAUCAUAAAUGUGACUUCUUGAAUGCUAGCACUCAGAAAGAGAGACACAUGGAAAGAAAAUGAAGAAGAUGGUCUAAUUACUCUGGAUUCAAUAAACAAUUAUCUAAGUUAUGGUGCACUCAAUGGUGUGGCCUAGUGGUUAGUGAGGUGGGUUGAGCACCAUGAGGUCUCAAGUUUAAUUCUUAGCAGAGACAAAACACUAGGUGGCUUCUUUCCAUUUGUUCUAGCCUUGGUGGAUUGAGUUAUCAGGUACUUGUUACUUGUGGGAGGUGAUAGGUAUCCCGGGGAAUUAAUCUAGGUGCGCCCAAGCUGGCCCAAACACCACAGUUAUAAAAAAAAGAAUUGAUUUUUUUUGAAGUUAAGGUCAUAAAGCAUUGAAAUAAGAAUGAAGCUUUAAGAAGCUCUAAUAUGAGUUCAUCACUUCAAAGUUUUACCCUUCGGAAGUGUCAAUAAUCACUUUUUCCAGAAGAAGUCAUAAGGUUGUUCUGACUUCUUCAAUGGCUUGGAAGAUUGCUUAAAUAAGUUUCAACUUUUCUGACUUUUUAUUGAGGUAGUGACUGGAGAAUGGGGGCAUUAGUUGUUACUAGUCAUUAAUUCAUCUAAGACUCCUAAAGUCUUAAGAAAGCUAAUCAGAUUUUGUGCUUAGAACAAAGUUUAGAUUGCUUGCUCAGUAAACUUGAAACCACUCCUAUCAUAAUCGAAUGUAGAGGAAUGAAUGGAGCAUCUUUCAUAACACUUAAAGGCAACACAAUUAUUGCAUUUAAUAGUGGUUGUGAAGAGGGUAAGAACCGAUCCUUACUCGAUUAAAAUAGAAGUUAUGUGUAAGAAUUUAUACUGCUGAAAAGCUAUUGUUGAUUAUGGGUACAAAACGAUAUUGCUGAGAAGCCAUUGUUGGUUGUUGCUUUACGACUCAAAGAACUCUUAUGCCAUCCUCCAACUAGCUUUUCUCCUAAUAGAUUCCUAAUAUCUGUUUAUCAAGAUUCGCCAUCAAGAGAGGAAAAAUGUUUACCAUCUUAAUUCAAGACCUAUUUUGUGGACAAAUAUUGCAAUGAAAUACAACUAUGGUGAAAUAAAAGUUACAUGUAGUAGUUUUUCUUAAAUCACAUGUUAAAUAGCCUUGUCACGAAUAAUGUGAAACAGUUGUCUCUUUCACUUCUGCAAGUAUCUUGCGUAAAAAUAUGAGUCUAGUGAUAGAUGGGGUCUUUAGUAUUAUUUACUGACAUUUUGUUGAUAAUCUUGUAUGCAAAUUCCAUUUGAUCUGCAGCUGCAUAUUAAAAACCAUUACGGUGGGUCCAUGAAGCAAGAGGUGUCUUAUCUUUGUUUUAGAUCUUUUAUUUUUUGGGUCGAGUAAACUACUUGUGCUUAAUAUGAUUUAUGACCUGAGCAUGCAGCUGGAAAUCAUAUCUUAUUUGGUAUCUGCUGAAGUUUUGAUGGAAUUGGUUGUCAUUAACAAGUAAAUUUCUUAGCUGGCCAGUGUAUAUAUAAUAUUUGCACAGCGUAUAGUGAUCUUUUAUAUCAUUAUCUUAUCUUCACCAUAUCUUCUCAUACUAGAUUGUAGUUCAAAAAUAUUGUAUGUUGAGUGUAUAGUGUCACUCAUAAGAUUAAUUUCGUGAUAUCCAGGACUCCAGAAUGGCUGAAGAAAAUGUUUGCAGCAGUUACUAAGAGCGAAAGAAAUGGUCCAGUAUUCCGUUUUUUUAUGGAUCUCGGUGAUGCAGGUCUUAUUGAACCAGUUAGAUAUUUAUUUCUGUUUUCUAUAUGGUGCCGCCACUCUCCCAGGAAACAUGUUAAUCUCAUGGAUGGAUACACAUUACUGUUUUUUUUUUUAAUAAAGUGAUAAGAUGCCCGUAACUAUAUAUAAUCAAUGAGCUCUUUAGGUCCUUAGCUUACACCAAUCUUAGACCAUGUAAUUCAAACUCUUUUUAUCUUUUUUUAUCCAAAAAAUCAUGUAACUCAAACUCUUUCUUUUGCUUAUAAAAAAGAAAAAAGAGAACUGAUCAAGUUCAUGAAACUGGAACCUUUCGUUUAUUUUUUUUUCCCUCGAACUGAAUAAUUCCUUGACGGGGAAGUCCCUCAUAUCCUGUUUAAUAGGGGUUUGUCUGUUGAGAUCUCUUACAUGCUGCCUUUUUGUUUUUCCAGUUUCUUAUGUUAAAAAGCUGAAUAUUCCAAGUGGAGUGGUGGGGGCAUGCCGUCUUGAUUUAGCAUAUGAACAUUUUAAGGUACGUUCUUGGUCAAAAUUGUGAAUAUGAUUGGUAUUUUGUUUUGAAAUUGGAGCAGUUAUUUUGCGGAGCUUAAUUACCUCCGUUUGUACUAAAAGGGUACUGAUUGGUUCAACGGAUAGUACGCUUACUUCACUAUCGUAUUCUAAUAGGAAUAUUUCAAGUUUUAUAUUUCUGAUCAUAAUAUCUGCUGGUGAAUAAUUUACAGUAUAGCCAAGCAAAUGUCAAAAGCAGAUCAUUAUCACCACACUGCAUUUAAAUGGAAAAGUAAAGAAAUAUGAAAAGAACAAAAACACAGAGAAGGGAGUUUUUGGUGGGGGGGGGGGGGGGUCAAUGUAGGAAUUAAGGACGCUGGAGUUUUUAAGACAAGUUCAUUGUUAGGUAAAAGAGGUUAAGAUCCAACAACAAGAACUUGUAGAAGAAACAAACAAACUAAUUUUGAACAUCAAGGAGUUGGAGAGAAGCACCACAAUUUGUGUGGGAGAUCUGGGAUUAGAAUCAUAUUGAAUCUAGUACUGAUUUAUGGUCUAGUUUGAGACUGAUAAACACAAACUAAUUGAAAUGUUGUUUAGGACAUAUUCAUCUCUUUGUACUAAACCCCCCCCAAAAAAAAAUAAAAAAAAAUAAAAUUGCAUGACAACAUAUUAUAUAGGCUUGCAAUAUCAAACACAUUGUAGUGAUUUAUGCGUAGGUAAACAUAUAUCUUUUUGGUUUUACCUUGAAUUGUUUUCUUUCCCUGUUGCUGAAUGAUAGCUUAAAGCCUUAAACUAUUCAGAAGGAAACAAUUUAUUUGUGUGAAAAAAGGGGUCAUAUUUGCUCCUCUUCUAUUGAAAAAGGUUUAAUAUUGCUCUACGUUAUACCAUCGGUCCAUAUAUGGCCGUAAUGUUAUAAAAGUUAGUAAGAGUAUAUAGGGCCGACAAUAUAAUGGAGGACAACAUUAAAUGCAAUAGUGGAGGGGCAAAUAUAACCCUUCUAAUUUGUAACAUGUCCCCUCGUGUGUGGAUUGAUUCUUCUUGGGCCAAGCAUGUAGAAAUAUUUUGUUGAUACGCGAACAAAAACGUUGGAUAUUUGCCGUUCUAAUACCAAGUUGAACAGUGUGAACCACAUCAUUUAAAAACGCAAGUGGUUAAAGAUGAGGAAUUUGAAUUUGUUUAUUAUAGGUCAAAACAUGCAUGUUAAGCUAUAAGAUAUCAAUUAUGCUUGACAUUUUACCUGUGCUUGUGGGAGGUAGCAGGUACCUCGUGGAAUUAGUCGAGGUGCGUGCAAGCUAGCUUGCCAUAUGCCUUCUUGGAUCUCUUCUAGGUAUAUAUGGAGGAAAGUCUUAGACCUCAGUGACAUACCGUGCAGACCUAGGUCUAAAUCGGAUAAUAAAUUAUAUUACUAGUGGACUGGACUGUCACAGAAAUAAGACAAACUUACCUUGUGUGCUAUCUAGAUCAGUGAAGCUCUCAUCAUGACUCUGUAGUUUGUGGGUUGAUUAAUAAGAGAUGUGAAUUUGCUAGUUCUGAAUGGUCCAAGACAGUUUUGAGCAAAUUGAUACCUGUUAGAGUCUAAGGAUUCCCUUCCACCUGAAAAUUAUUUGUAGUAGUACAUGUACCAGGUUCUGUCGUUGCCUCUAUUUACUGUAACUUCAGGAUGUUAUCAUCUCUUCCAUAAACAAUUUUACCACCUUAUUAUUUUUUUUUGCAGGAAAAACCACACUUGUUCCAAUUUGUUCCGAACGAGAAACAGGUUUGAUGCUGUUUUGAGAAUCAACUGUUAAAGCUACUUAUUCAUCAGCUUAAAAUCUCUGCAAAUAUUUACUGCACAUUCAGGUCAAGGAAGCCAACAAACUGCUUAAGGCAAUGCAGCAGUCUGAUGGAAGGAAAAAGGUGGACGGUGUUCCUGUUUUCAGUGCUCAGAACUUAGAUAUUGCGAUAGCAACUACAGAUGGUAUAAAAUGGUAUAUUUAUCUUCUUAUGCACGAUCACUUGUAUUUCUGAUUUGUGAUAUCUGGAACUUCACUUAUAUUAUCGUACUAGCCUUGUUAACUAAAGGCCACUUUGGGUUGUUGAUAUAUAACAGUGUCUCAAUAAGUCUAUACUAGUCUAUGACUGCAUGGUACAAACAUCUUUAGAUUCAUGGUCAUGGUAAGAUAGCUGAUUGGUCCCUUCAUCCCUAUAAAUUUGUUUGCCAAAGGAACCCAUCAUUUUUUUCAAAAAAUUGAAAUAAAUUGUCAACCGGAUGAAAUUUGUUGUGAUCUUGAGAAUUACGAUUAACAAGGAGAUGAGAGUUAUUUUGCUAAUUUAAUUCAGAACUGUGAAAGAAUCUGCAACAUUCAAUCAAAACUGCAAAGAGGGUGAUACCUUUGAUUUUCGUAUCUGGUUUGUAUAUUAAUCAAGAAAUGAAUUAACAUUAAUUUUGAAUAGCCUCCUAACACUGACUGACUCAGCACAGUGCAAUGUAAGAUCAGACAGAUGUUGAUCCACUUCAAGCAGUGUAUCACUUACAUGAGUGAGACUGAACCAUAGAGAUUAGGAUCUACAAUGGAACUUGACGUCAAUGAAUGGAAUGAAAUAUAAGUCAAGCAUUUCUUAGAGUCCCACAUCCGUGUAUUGUUUGCCUCCUUAUAUGGUCUUGGGAAAUCCACCUCAUGAGCUAGCUUUUAGGGUUGAGUUAGGGCCAAGGUGCAUCUUUUACAUGACCAAUUAGCUAAACAUGUUUAACCUAAUAUUCAUAUUGAUAUUAGUAUUUAGGUAGUACCGGGCAAAAACCAUAUUAACAAUGGAGGAAGGUAAAAAAAAAAAAGAACUUCCAAAAAACUGUUCCCAACUCUAGAUGGACCCUAAAACAUCUAGAAUUUGACUUAGUCUCAUUAGAAUAAACAUUUGUUCACCAAAAACAGAAUAACAAAAUACAUUUAAGUUUAAUCUCCUGCACAUUGCUGCUCCUGUUUUCAGAACAUCUGUCAUUCCUCUCUCCAUACAGUCCACCGAAUGCAGGUAGGAAUAAUCCUCCAUCUGUCUGGGCAAGUAGACAAAGAGGAAUCUAACUGAAGGAACAGGAUGAAGCAGCAAAUUACAUCGAAGAAGAUGUAAUUCCUUUGAAAAUCUAGUUACCAGUUGAGGAGGCUGUUCAAGACACCAACACUUCAGAAUGGAUUCAAUAACACAUCAUCAAACUAAGUGAAAAGGGUUAGAGCUUGAUGCCAAAUUCUCCAUUAUUUGAGAUGUGAGAAAAAAAUGAGUCAACAAUUGGUGAGGAGUCCAGUAUGUGACUAGGUUGGCCAGCUUGGCGAAAUGUGCGAGAAAAUAGUCCAUCAACUGUAAAACCUUACGACGAGCCAAAAUUUGGUCACGCACCGAUCAAGGUCAUUAGGAAGUCUAGCAAGUGUGCGAUCUAGAAAUAUCGUCAGUGAUUGCUCAUGUUGCUUUUCAACACUAGUAGUAUUUGACAUCAAUUUCUUUAAUUCCUUUGUGAUUCCCUGUACCCGUCUCAAGUAAGUAGAAAUACCCUAUUCCCCUUUCUUUAAGUUUAUCAUUUGAGAUAUACCAUAUUAUAAAAAUGAGAUAUGUCAUUAGUGUAUUAAGUGCAAGCCUGAAUUGGGUGUAGAUCUUAAAGGGUGCGAUGAGAAGGCCAAAAAAUUAUUUAUGAAGAUAGACAACAACAAUCGGUUGAACAAGGGGGAGCAAGCCAUUGUAAAAAAGAAGGGGGUGAAUGAACUGAAAGGAUUAGAGCUUGAUGCCAAAUUCUGUAGUUAUGGCUCAAGAAGUAGGGGGGAUACCUGGCAAUAAAAGAUCAAUGAAGUUGGAAAGAGUGCCUUGGAAUGUUAGGGGGCUAAAUAUUGGCAGAAGGAGGAGGCUAAUCAGAAACAUUCUACAUACAUGGAAUUAUGGAAAGCUGAUGUAGUGUGUCUAAGAACUCAGUCUCGUAAUUUGUAAUUUGUUCAUCAUAAAAUUCAUGAACAAGUUAUUAGAUGUGUUCAUUUUGGUGGUGCUUUCCUUGUACCUUCAGUGAAGAAAGGUUUGAAAUGGAAGACAAAUUCUGGGUACAGUAAAACAGGGGGAUCCAAAUGUAUAGCCUUUCGUGAUCCAGCGGGAAUGGAUCAAUGUUGAGAAACAGAGGAUCAUGAGUUAUACCCCAGAUUAACAUUGAACUAUUACCCUAUGAUCACUAUCCUCUUGUAACCUGUUUUAUCUUAGCUGUUCUAUAAAAAUAGUGGACAAAAUAUCAAUUCGAAUCACUCUCAAGGAUGAGGUGAUUGUCUGAUCUUUUGGUGCAAAGGUUCUCAAAUUAACCACCUACUUCAUCAAUUAUUCUGUAGGUUGUCAGACUGAUUGAAAUGUGGGUGAAGCAGUUUUAAAAAUACACACUUUUGAAGUAUACGACAUAAUCUGUGGAUGAAAUUUAGACUGUCCAGUCCACUUAUAUUGUUUUAUUUUAUUUGUUUUUUUAAUUUUAAAGGCGGAGUGUCCAGUUGACCUUUUGUCGAAACCACUUUAUCAACUAACUCUUCUGAAAAAUUGAAUUAUUAAAGAAGAAUCCUAAAUGUAGAUUCCCAAUUAACUGUUUUCUUUGGCAGCUUCAAUCUUUAGUCUUCUUUUUUUUUUUUCUCCUUGUCAUCUUAUAUGAAUUUGCUCAUCUUCUUAUCAGGUAUACUCCUUAUUUCUUUGACAAAAACAUGUUAGAUAACAUUCUUGAAGAAUCUGUUGACCAACAUUUCCAUUCACUGAUUCAAACAAGACACAUGCAACGCCGAAGGGAUGUUUUUGAUGACAACUUGGCUGCCGAAGUAAUUGAAGAGAUGGGAGAUAGUAUGUGGGAGCCUCCUGAGGUACUAAACUGGUCAGAGAUUGAAAAUAUGUGUAAGGAGCAACACAAAUAGUGAUGAAUUUUACUUUAAAAAGGAGGAUGGUGAUAAAUUUUCUAAGGUGGUUUCCCCUUUGGUUUGCUUUGGGGGUGGGGUAGAGACAGAUGCACUGUAGAAUCUGUUGAAUUUUUUACAUGGAUUUGAAGGGUAGGGAAAGCUCGCCAACCACAAAUGUGGUGAUCUUAUGAGUGGCUAUAGUCUUGAUCAAAGUGUACCCAUCAGCAAUUAGCCUUUUGUUCUUUUUUAUACUUCAUUGGUUUUAGCAAUCUGUUUAUUUUGUUGCGCUGUGGAAAAUACAAAAAUAUCACCAACCCAUUGGUUUAAUGAUUGACAGGUGCAAGAUGCACUCGAUGAAGUGGGUCCACCAGCGAUACCUUUGAGUGUCAUAUCAAAGGCUGCUGAAAUUCAGCUUCUACAUGCUGUCGAUAAGGUUCUUCUAGGGAACAGGUGGUUGCGGAAAGCAACAGGAAUUCAACCCAAGUUUCCUUACAUGGUUGACUCGUUUGAAAAGAGGUAGCUCAUUCAUUUUCAAGAGUUCCUUCGUAGGGAGAAGUGAUCUUUUCACAUGGUUCAUGCCUUGAAAUCUUUUAAUAGUGAUGUUAUUUCAUCAUAUUAUGUCACAUUGUCAGUGGCUAGAUUCGGGUGUCUCAGAAUUCUCCAAACUCUGAGCAAAUAUUUGGAUGGUAUAAACAUUUGAUUGCAAUUUCUCAAUCCCCAAAAUUGUUUGAUUUUGCAGGAGCGCAGCGUCUUUCCAGAGAGCAUGUAGGAUUUCGGGGUUUGUUAAUAAUUCUCCGUUGGAAGCUAAUAAUAACCAACUACAGUGCAUUGGCACCUCAGCAGUCGAGGGAGCUGAUAAUAUCUCCAAUAAGAAACGAUUAGGGCUGGAUAUCCGACUCCCUUUUGGGGGCUGGUUGAGUCCUGCAUGGAGUAAAGGACAGAAGCAGCAGAUAAUAAAAGAUAAAAGGUCCCAUUCAGUUUAUUUUUCCAUGAAAAUAACAUGGGCCAUUAUAAGAUUAAUUCUGUUUUUUGGAAAAGAAUCUAAGAUUUUUAAUGGAUUUAAUACUGCCAGGGAAUACAGAGAGGUACAUCCAUCACCUCUUCUUCCGAAGAUUACUAUGGUUGGUAUCUCAAUGGGUGAGGCUGGGCAGGUGAGCAAAGCCACUUUGAAGAAGACAAUGGAGGAUUUGACGAAAGAACUGGAAUAUACAGAUCAGAAAAGCUCAUCUGGGAAUAAUGUUGAUGAAAUAACAUUUGAAGAGAGGGAUCCUUUAUUCGUAGCUAACGUUGGUGAUUAUCAUUCUAGUGCAGCAAAGGGAGGUUCAACUCGAUGGGUUCGAGGAGGAACGUUUUAAACAACCUCCGACCAGGUUUUGUUCCUUCUCAAAUUAGCUGCUUACAAUGUAAUUCUAGGAAAUAAUUAAAUGUAUACUAGUCUUCUGUUGCAUGACUUUAUAUUGUAGCUAGUGAGAUGGUUAGUUUUCUCAGGUUUUAGCUGAUUGGAUGAGGCAAAAUUUGGUUAGAAUAGAUCAAUAUCAGCAUCUGUUGUAGCAUAUAGAUUAUUGUAACAAUGUAUACUUUUGAGUUUUUAGCAGUUGUAUCUUGUAAACUACUGAGUUUCUUAAUGAUCCUUCAAACCUCAAAGAUGUAAAGAAUAGUAGUGAUACUUUGAUCUACCAUAAAAAUAUGUAUCUGAAUAAUGUGUAGAAAAUGAGUCCAAGUAGGCUCAAGUAUGAGGUAUACAUUACCAUGUACUUAAUAUACUAUUAUGUUAUACCUUAUUUUACUAUGUACUAGUUUCUCAAACAUAUAUUAGUUUAACAUAUUUACAUGCUACAUACUAUAUUUUACUUGUAAAUACUAAUAAAUCAUUUUUAUUCACACACACUUUUAGUACAUGUACAUAUUCCGCCCCUCUUUAUAUGUACUUUACAAAUACUAUAUACUUUCUCUCUACUAUUACUACUACUAUUAUCACUACUUUACUCCUAUUACAUACAUACAGUUUUCCUACAUUAUAGUACUCAUAUAUCAAAGGUAUAUCACAUGAUAUAUUUUAUGUAUAUCAUACAUAUUUUAUAUACCUUGUAUAUUUUCAACUACGAAUUGUUUUAGCCUCUUUUUUUUUUUUUUGUACUAUCUUUUUUUAGCAAGUGAAAUAAAUAACUCUCAUUUGUUUAUUCAAAGCUAGAUUUAAGGACUAUUUUAAAAUAGGCUCCAAGGCUUAUCUAACACCUUUUCUUCAAUGUAAAUAAAAUCCUUAUCCAGAAUCUCAUCCGCUAUCAGAAACCAAAACAGAGUUUAUAUUUACAAAUGGUUUUCUUCUUAUUAUAUUUUUCUAAAAAUUAGGUGGCUACUUUGAAUAUUUUCUAAACCAAGGGUAACACUAUCAUUAAGUUGUAAACUAUUUUGCUCAAAAAUGACACAUGAUGCCACUGAUCUGAUAAUAAAUAGAGAAAAUUUCAUAAAUACCAUAGAGGUUAAACUUAACCACGCUCUAUAGCUACAAUUUGCUUAAUUACGUUUCAUAGCUAUAGUUUCGUUUGCUAUAGGUGUUUUCGUUUGUAUAUUGAACUUUCAAUAUACAAACAAGGUAAGUAUAUACAAAUUCUGUAUUUAUACAUUUAAGAAUUUUUCAGAACUUCGUUUGUAUAGUUCGGUUGUCAUAAGAAUUUUUCAGAACUCCAUUUGUAUAUUUCGUUUGUCAAUAUACAAACAUGGUAAAAUCAAAUGUAUCAACAAAUUAUAUACAAAUAGCUAGGGUAAGCAUAUACAAAAUCUGGAUUUAUACAAUCAUAAUUCGAAUUAUACAAAUUCAGAAUUUAUACAAUUAGAAAUCGAAUAGCAAAAAUUUAAGAAACUAUAGCCACUAAUCAUAAAUAUCUGAAACUAUAACUAUGGAGCAUAAUAUAGUAUAAAUGUUUGCCAUUUCAAGUAAUUUUUCCUAACAAGUAUUGCAAAAAUUAUUUAUUAGAUAAGCACAUAAUUUAUUUUUCACUAAUCCUCGUCUCAACACUCUCUCUGUCAUUUAUUUUUUAAAUUGCUUUAGUUCUUUCUCUCAACAUGUAAUAACAAACUGGAAAAAAGUUCUCUCUCAACAUGUAAUAACAUAUAAUAAUUUUGUGAGUUGUAUUUGUAUCAAUAGUUUUUACAUGUGUUGUAUACGAUCUUAGGAGUUUGUAUUUUUUAUCAAUAUUAUACUGUAGAUUUUAUGUAUUUGUACUAUUCUUAUUUGUAUAUUUUCAACAAUUAUUUACAGUUGCUUGUUUGUAUAUAUGCAUCAGUUUAUAUAUAUAUAUAGUUGUCUAGCAUUUCUCUUUUGUAUAUCUUAUACGAUUCUAUGUGUUAAUGAUAAUUGUACACAUUUUGAUUUGUAUAUUUUUAAUUAACCCAUAUAUAUUUGUAUAUUUUAUCUUUAUAAUGACCUUUUUUGACAUGUGAGUUAAAUUUCAUGUCAAAGAAACUCACCAGCAAAGAGUUCAUUUUGGUAAGAUAUUCUAAGAAAAUAUACUAACUUUUGAUUUGUGGGAUAUUUUCCAUUUCAUAAUUGAUUUUACUGUAUCAAUCAAGGAAUUAAUUGCUAUAUUUUUUUUAGGGAGUUAAAUUUCAUGUAAAAAAAACUCUCAAGAAAGAGUCAAUUUUGUUAAGAAAUUCUAAGGAAAUAAACUAAGCAUAAUUUGUGGGAUAUUUUUCAUUUCAAAAUUGAUUUUACGUGUCAAUCAAGGAAUUAAUUGCCAGACAUAUUUGUAUAAAUGACUACAAAAACGCGAAAUAUACAAUUAUUAGUCUUGAUAGCUAAUGAAACUGUAGCAACAAUUUGUAAUUAGAGAAACAUUAGCUAAAGGAGCCUGAUUAUUUCUCCAGUCUUAACUAUUUAUGAAAUUUCUACUAACAAAUUCUGGCAUAAUUUGUGCUUAGUUCUUAAAUUUUAUUCUUUAAUUAACUAUUUUUUUAAAAACUGCACAUAGUAUUCACUAUUUUUUAUGAGAAGAAAAGCAAAAAAAUAGUAUCCUAAAAUUUUAACAAAGUAAAAAGAAUUUAAUUAUAAUUCUAAAUUUAGCGACUGAAAUAAUUAAAAAUUAAUUCAAGAACAAUACUUUUCAAUCUGGGAGAGAUCUUAUAUUGUUACUUAUUUUUCAAGACUAAUUAUCUUGUCUCCAUUGUCUCUGCUAUUAGUAUAUAUAGGACUUAAAUUUAUAGUUAGAAAAAGAUAAAAUUUUGUUUUGUACAAAAUACAAAACUUUCCUAAGACAAAAUCAAGAAGAUAUUACUUGGAAAUUUCAGUAUUCUAGCUAGAGAAAAUAUGAAGUGGUGAUAAAAGGAUAUUUGAGAAAGUGUGUUGCAGUUGCAUGUUUGAUCUCUAUUAUUAUUAUUAUAUAAAAUCUACACAGGUUUAAUCUCAUGUUGAAAAUUAUUUGUAAAUAUAAUUAAUCUUGUAUUAAGUAAUGUGUUUAUAUGAACUCUACCUUCUAAUUAUACUCCCCAAUUAAAUAUUGAUAUUAUGUCUAUAUCUUCAUACGCUCUAACGCUCUUUGCAUUUGAAGAGGUAACUAUUGCAAUUUGCAAGUGUUCUUAAUUUUUAAUUAAGAAAAAAGCAUUAGAACCUAGAUCAUUGAUAAUGAGGAAAUUAUUACUCAGAAAUGAUCUUCAUGAUUAUUAUUGUAAUAAUUACGAUGUUAUAUAGAAAGUUUUCAAAAUAUUGGUGUUUAAUAUUUAAGUAGAUAUUUUAUUUCAGUUUGAUUUAUUGCAAGAGCAAAAUUGUAAUUCAAUUCUAAUAUAUAUAUAUAUAUGUUAUUUUUGUCCACAAAAAUUUAAGCCUGAGACUAAAUGAUUCCCACCGUAUUAAAUCACUAGGCAACAAGCCCACAACCCAAUCUUCUAAUUUUUUUUAAUAGUAUAUAUUAAUAAUAAAACAAAAUAAAACUCGGACAUUAUUUUUGUUUUACAAGCAUGAAAAUAUAAUUAUAAUUUCAUACUUUACUAUGAAAUACUACCGAAAAUAUUGUCCUAUUUACAUGCUUUACAACUUAUUUUUGCUAACAAAUUAUAUGUAUACUUAAGACAAUACGAUUAACAUUGAACGGAUAUAUAGUAGGAAAUUUUUUUAUUGUUUUAUAGAUAAAAAAAGACUUGUUCAUAUAAAAGACACUAGAACUUCUAACGGGAUUUGAACUUUAGAUUUCUUGAACGUAAAGUGAAAUUGUAAUCAUCCUCUUAUAAAUUUAAUCAUUAGGACAUACUAAUUCUUCAGAGUGAUCAGUAUGGUUGUUUACCAGAAAAAUUGCUACUAUUCAUUUAAAAGUUGAAUUUAUAAAAACAAAGGAUAGGGUACAAGUACCUCUCUAGACUAUGAUCGAAAUUUCAGCGACAUACCUUAACUAAACUAAGGUCCUAUUACCCCCCCCCCCCACCCCACAACCCAAACCCAUUUUUUAUAAUUUUGUACGUCUUUUUGGCUUACGUGGUAUCAAGAUAUCUCCCAUGUGCCUCAAUUGCGUGGAGUCAGGGAGUGUGCCACGUAAGCCAAAAGGUGUACAAAAUUACAAAAAUAUAUGAUUUCAGGUGGGUAAUAAGACCUUAGUUUAGUUAAGGUGUGUCUCUAAAAUUUCGAUCAUAAUCUAUGAGGUACUUAUGCCUUAUCCCUAAAAACAAGGAUAAAGACAAAUGUACUAUGAUCAAUCAAACUCCUUUUCUUUGUGGCUAAAUUGGUAUAGCAAAAAUAAAUUAGAGAAUAGAAAUUAUGCUAAGAAUAAGGACAACAAUGAGAACAAUUAUCCUAGUUUCACAUGGUAGGAGUAAAACUGAUUACACAGUACACAUUAUCCUUUUCAACUCACUUAUACGAUUACACUAAGUAUGUUAUUCUUAUUGGUGUUAUUGUAAAUUGUAUGAAGAACAAGGAUAAUAAUAAGUGUAAAUAUAAUGACAAGUAAAAAUAAGAGCAAGAAAUAAUUAGAAGAUGAAUCUUUUGUAUUAUUAGAGCUUUUCAAUGAUGUUUUUCUUACAAGUAGAUGAGAUCAUAUUUCUCUCUUGCAAGGGUUUACAUUAAGAUGCUAUUAUGUGUCAAAUUUUAACCAGUCCUUGUGCCAAAUUCGAAUUUCACCUCAUACAAUGUCAGCAAUUUUAUUUUUUUAAUUAUGAGAAUCUAGUCUAUCUAAGAUGCAAGCAACCACUAAUGCUUGUAUUAGAAUAGACUUUCUACAUCACACGGCCUCUUAGGCUACGGUUUUUUUUAAUUAUGUGUGAACACAAUGUUUAAUGUAUUGAGUUGUCUUUAGAUAUAGUCUAUGUAGACUUUUGUACACACAAAAUAUUUUAUGUACUGGACUAUUUUUUAAUUUAAUCUAUGUAGACUUUUGUAUUUAACUAAUAUUUUGUAGUGUUUGUCAUCAAAGUUAGGAAGUGCAUGCGUGUAGUUUCCCUUUUCAAUACACUACAUCUAAAAACCUGAAGCAUCUAUAACAUAUAUUGCUGCUUUUAUCAAAGUUAUUAACAUUUUCUUAUGUGAUGUGGUCAUGUUGCACUAAAUAUAUUUCUUAGAGAAAAUAUUGACUACAAUUAUUGGCCCCACUUUGAGAUUAUUGUAAAGUCAAGGGGCAUAAAAUUAUUGAAAUUGCAAAUUUUCUUUUCUUAAGGGACUUCCAUUUCACUAAUUAAGAAUUUUUUAAUUUAAAAAAUCAAACUUUUCGACUUUUUAACAAUUGGGUGCAAGAGAUUAAUUUUUAUCUUCUCUUUCAUUAUAUUGUAAUUAUCCUCACCAUAAAAUGGAAAAGAACAUUAAAUGUUCAUUAAAUGUUAAUUGAAUAUGGAUGUGCACGGAGCAGGUAGGUACCUCUCUAAGUUCUCUAUAUAAUAAGCCAAUUUGGUUCACUUUUCUUCAUCCCAGUUUUUGAUUUUUAACUUUCUACCCACUAAUUUUUUUUUAGCUAUUUCCUUCAUAAAUCAUCCCCUUUUUGAUCUUUUUCCUCACUCCUUUCUUACAGAAAAUAUCCUUAGUUUUUUAAUAAACACAUUUUUUAAGUUCUUAAGGAUUUUCUUGCCCCUAUUCCAUUUUUUUGCAGUUAACUAGAUAUAAUUAUAUAUAUAGAUUUAAAAUGGAGGAUAAUGAUUGGGAUUUAAGCGCUGUAGUAAGAAGUUGUAACAUUAAUAAGACUAAUGAUGUUACAGUUCCUAACUCAGGCUUGGUGACUUCUGAAAAUGACGAUUGGAAUAUUUUUUUUGACAAAAAUGUUGCUGCUGACAUACCUAAUUUUAAUGAUUUAUUUGAGAUUUUCUCUAUAGAUUUUUCAGUUGCUCACCAGAAAAAAUCAAAUGACGAUGUCAUAAUCACGGACCAAAAUAAUAACCAAGAGAUGUACUUACAUCCCAUUCAACCAAAUCAAUCUAGUCAACAAAUCAUUCUUCCUCCAAUACCAACAACAAUAACAUGUGUGCCAACAACGACUACAACACCACAAGAGUCGAUUUAUCUACAACAACAACUUCAAAAAUCAAAUGAUCAGAUUAUAAUUAUGAAUCAAAAUGGUAAUCCAGAGAUGUACUUAGAUCCCAUUCAACCAACACAAUUUAGCCAACAAAUCUUUCUUCCCCCGUUACCAACAACGAUAACGUGUAUGCCAAGAACAACUACAACAUCACAAGAAUUGAUCGAUCUACAACAACAAUUUGAAAAAUUAGAUGAUCAGGUCAUAAUCAUGGACCAAAACAAAAACCAAGAAAUGUACUACAAUCCCAUUCAACCAACUCAAUUUUGCCAACAAACUUUUCUUCCUCCAUUGCCAACAAUGUUAACGUGUGUGCCAACAACUACUACAACACCACAAGAAUCGAUAGAUCUACAACAACAACUUGUGAUACAGGAUCAAGUUUAUCCUAAUUUCACUAUGCCCAUGCCGACUCCUCUGAUCAAAACUUUUAAAAGGUAACUAUUUCCUCUGUUAAAUUUUAAGUGUGCGUGUUUAGAGUUUAAUUUUAAUACUUUUGAUUUGAAAUCAGAAAAAAUCAGUCAACAAGAGUUGUCUAUGAAGUGUUGCAAGAGGAACUCACAGAUGAUAAAUGGGCAUGGCGUAAGUAUGGUCAGAAGUCAAUCAAAGGUUCUCCAUUCCCGAGGUUUGCUCUCUUUAUCAUUUUUUCAUAUCGUAGAAAAUGUUGUUCAGUUCUCAAUUUUUGUGAUAAAAAGUAGUAAAAACUAUUAAUGGUAAAUGUAGACAAAUGUAAUAUUUGACCAGUACUAAUUAUAUUUUGUGUAUACGAUAUAUCAGGAACUACUUUAAAUGUAGUACAUCAGGAUCCUGCAAAGCUACAAAAAUAAUUGAGAAAAGCCCAAAGAAUGAGAACUAUUUUUUGGUGUCCUAUUCUGAUGAACACAACCAUGAUCCUCCUACAUAUCGUAAAUCUCUUACUUUAUACAACAGUAGUUCCAAACGCAAACUUCCAAAAAGUAUAAAUAUUGUGCCCAAAGCGUUAAACUUGAAUGCAUCAUCGUCCUCGUCCAAGUGUGCUAAGCGUUUCAAAGUUGACACCUCUUCAAUUAGUCCAACUGCACCUACACUUGAAAUUAAGAGAAAUAAUGAAAUGGUUGAUGUUGUCGUGGAGAACAAAAACGAUAUUGAAGAGGAGGAGAACACGUAUGACAAUAUUUUCAUGGAUUUUGAAGAACUCCAACAAGUUACUACUUCCAUCUUAUGGGGAUGAAAUGGACAAGAGGAAUUGAUAUGUUUUCUCCCUCUCCACCAACUCUAUUAUGAGAACCUUUUGUCUUCUAGUCAUGUUUCUUUUAUAGUUAUAAAUGGGGUAAGACAAAACAAAAUUAGAUUUAUAGUUUGUUAUGUUUAACCAUGUCAUAGAAAAUGGUGCUUCUCUAGAUAGCUAGAUAUGAAUCAUUUUCAGUUUCGUCAUUUUUGUUGUUUUUAAUAUAAAAAUUUGACCCCUCUUGAAAGUUGUUUUAUUUUCUCAAAUAGUUCUUUCUUUAAGAAAAGUCAUUGGUCUCGAACUCUCAAUUUAUACAUUAAACUGUACGAAGUAUUAGAAUAUCACAAUUCAAUUUCAGAAGCUAUGUGUGUAUAUAUAUAUAUAUAAAAGAGUGUUAUUGAUGCAUGCAUUAACCAUUUCGAAGGAGUUUUCACACUAAAAAGUCAGUUGUAUGUUCUUGUGGAUUACUAUUAAUUUAAAAGAUAGAAUAAGUAAUUUGUUUUAGUACUCUCUUAAAUUAUUUUUUGAUGGUAUACAUUUUUUCUCUAUAUCAUCAAUGGUUUAUAAAUAUCUCAACAACUAUUUUGAUUUUCUUAUUCCUGGUUCUUUUUCUUUUGCUAAAGGACAAUUUUAUAGUCACAUUAUCUUUGAACAAGAAACAUGUGUCAAAUGUAUAAUUAGAAUAAGUAUAGGGAUUUACGAAUUCCUUGUGGUCUUUAAUGUUGCUAGGAGUAGCAUUGAAUGCAAUCUCUACAUAUAAACUGUUACAAAUAUUAAUUAUUAAUAUAAAAGUUUUGCAUAAUUAUUGAAGUAAUACAUUAUUUCAAUAUUGAACAUUGUACUACUCUAGUUCAUUUUUUAUUUAUUGAAAAAGAUUAAUUGAAAGGUUACUUAACUAAAUUAUUAUUAUAUAAUCUUGAUGUAUUAAUCUCUCUAUUAAUUAUUCAAAAUAUCAAAAAAAAAAUUGCAGUCGAGAGAUUUCCUAAUGAGGAGGACUUGUGUCCUAUCAUGGUAUUAGGGUUCAAUUAUAUCUUCUAUAUUUUUCUCACUAAAUUGAUCAUAUUUGAAAAGCUCAUUUACGUAUGUAUGUAAGAAAGGAGAAUCUCAAUACGUCCAAUUUCAUUUGAGAUUAUAUUGACUUUCUAUUAUUUAAAACGAACAUGACCAUCAUUGAUUUGAUUAUAUUUUAGAAAUGUUGGAUAUAUAGCUUGUGAAGAUAUUUGAAACGUACCAUUAUAUUUAGAUCAUAUUGUGUUUGUACGUGUUUCUAGAAUGUUUAAUUACAUUUUCAUAAUUUAGCUAAAUUUUCAAUUUAUUAAAUAUAUUGUAAAUGAUAUUAUUGAUAUGUGGAUAAAAAACUUAGAUGUUCCCCACUUUAACCAAUUUAUUUAACAUUUCUCUUUCUCUAUGUUCUCGAUUUGAUAAUUCAUUUGUUGUCGUAUGUUGUAAUAUGGAAAAAAUAGAACUCAAACCAAAAAUCAAAAUGGAAGAAUGAAAAAAUGAAAAAGUCAUAAAGAACCACGAGAUUGAAUUAGAUUCAAAUUUUAAUGAAGAUAAAAAUAUUAGGUAAUUCUUUUUAUUUGUAUAAAUUUAGACAGAUUGAGUUACUUGAUAUCUAUAUUGAUGAUAUCGUGAGAGAUACCUCAUAAAGUAUUCAAAGGGUAACCAAGUCAUCUAGAAUAUGAACAUUUAAAAAAGAUAAUUUUUUUAAAAAAAAUUAAGGAAGAAGCAAACAAUAGGUCAUGACCAUUAUAUUGGUACUACUUGCUAGGAUUCUACACCUCUAAUGUUUUUCAGUUUGCAACUACCAUUUCAAGGACCUAGUCUAGAUAGAUACAAGAGUUGCUAAUAAAGUACGAAUAGAAAAUAUAAUAAAUAACGAAAAAUAAUCACAUAACUUUCACUUGAGAACAUAGUAGAUGGUAGUUGAUGAUAAGUAAUUGUAAUUCCACGCUUCAAGCAACCUGAAAAUAACUUAUACCAACAUAAGGUGUAACAAGAAUAGUAUCAGUACACCAUACACACUAAGUUGGCAUCACAGAUCGACGUGAAUUAAUUUCACGUAAAACAUCACAAAAUCAAUAGUAACAACAGUACAUUAUGCCAACAUAUAUUAUAACACAAGCAAUAUCUCUCCAUAUCUUUUCUAACCGUAAUCAUGAUUUUCAUUAUCGAUCUCUUAGCAUACUCUCUAACCUUAAAUAUUAAUCUCACAUAGAUAUAAAUUUUUCAGAAGUCAAUACGAUAAUACUCCUAUUAUAUACAUAAUUUUCCUACAUUAUAUUACUCAAAUAUCAAAAGUAUAUCACUUGAUAUAUUUUAGGUAUGCCACACAUAUUUUAUAUACCUUGUGUAUUUUCAACUACGAAUUGUUCUAGUCCUUACUUUUUUUUUUUUUACUUUUCUUAUUACUGUUUUUACCAUCUAUUUUAGCAAGUAGGUGAAAUAAAUAACUCUUCAUAGUUACAAUUUGCUUAAUUAUGCUGCAUAGCUAUAGUUUUGUUUGCUAUGGAUAUAUUUGUUUGUAUAUUUAGCUUUCAAUAUACAAACAAGGUAAGUAUAUACAAAUUCUGUAUUUAUACAUUUAAGAAUUUUUUAAAACUUCAUUUAUCUAUUUCGCUUGCAAAUAUGCAAACAUGGUAAUUUACUAUGAAUUUUUCAUAACUUAUACAAAUCAAAUGUAUCAACAAAUCGUAUACAAAUAACUAGGUAAGCAUAUACAAAAUUUGGAUUUAUACAAUCAUAAAUCGAAUUAUACAAAUUCUGAAUUUAUACAAUUAGAAAUCGAAUAGCAAAAUUUAAGAAACAGUAACUGCUAAUAAAAAUAUCUGAAAGUGUAAGCAUGGAGCAUAAUAUACAAUAAAUGUUUGUCAUUAGGAUUUCUAUUUUUAAGCUAGCCUCCCACACUCUAUUUGUAUCAAACCAAAACUCUCUCUCUUCUCUCAUAAUUUAUUUCUUUUCUUUUAUACAUCUAAUCAACUCUCUUUCAUCUCCCACUCUUUGAUUUUUCUUCUAAUUUCACUUAACCAUAUUCAUUUUUGAAGUUUCAAAGAUUUAUUUUCUUCCUCAAAUCGUAUUUUCCCAAUUUCAGGUAACCUACCUUGUCAGUUUUCAAUUGGUUUCUUUAGAUUUUUGUUUGUGUAUUUUGUAUCAUUUUACUUUCAUUCAAUUUUUAGUUUUUCAGUUACAUCAAUAGAAAUAUACAAAUAUAUGCAAGUUCAUGGUUAAACAAACUCGAUCAAAGAGAAUUACAUGAGUUAUACAAAUGCAUGUUCAAAAAAUUUAAAGAGAGAAGAUGAAGAACAAAAAAUUGAUGGAGAGUCGAGGAGUUCAAAAAAGAAAAGAAAAGUCAAAGAAAUAAAAAAAGGACGGAAAUGAUGUUGAAAUUAGGUCCAAGGAUCAAAAUGAUAUUGAAGAAAAUGGAGGUAUUUAUAUAAUCCCUUGAGUUGUAUUUAAUAUAUAUUUUCAUCAACCAUUUACAAUAACUUGUUUGUAUAUAUGCAGCUAUUGUAUAUAUAUAUACUAGAUGGGAAUGGCCCGUGCUAGCACGGGCCCAACAUUUUAUUUGUGGAUGCUUUACAUGGCACUUGGUAACGAAGAACAGCAGUAAAGAACUUAAAAAGUUGCAACAUAGCGAUGUAAAAACUAAAAUUGCAUUAGAUGAAUGACGUAAGCAGAACGUGUAAAAAUGGUUGAGCUAUGAUUGAUACAGAUCUUUCGGACUCUAUUUGUCUUCACAAAGUUUCCUGCCUUAGUCAAUUUCUGCUUCUUCCAAGAAAGGUAAAUUUGUAUGUGCAUUAUAAAAUGUACACACAGGAAAUAAUUGAAUUUACUUGUUGAUUUGAAGAGAACAUGGAGUAAUUGAAUAACUCGUUCAACUUUUAAGUGUUGUCAUGUUGCAUCUUGCAAUGCUAGCUGUCGUAGUUUGAAUGACCAUCUUAGAACAACUAUUGGAUGUGCUUUGCACUUUGCCCUCUUUGCCAAGCCAAAAAUGAAUUAAAGACUAUUUAAAUAUGAAGAACGGUGAUAAAGUAAAUAAAAUUAUCUAUUGCAUUGGCGAACUUUAGACUAAUAAGCCUUAGAAUAUAUUUCACCUUUUAGCUAUUCGGCUUCUUCAACAUAUGGGACACGCAGAGCCAAAGUGCUGCAUCUGUUCAAGAGACAGCAGAACUCGCCAGAUCAUUUAGAAAGAAGCCAACCUUGUGCGGUUUGUUUUUAUUCCAUAAAAAAAUAUCAAAAAAUUUGUCUGUACGUCUUCUCAAUUUGAUUCCACAGUUGGUAGAAAUAAAUGGCCGGGAAUUUCACAUGUCAGCUACAACUUCAUGUGAAUUUUUUUGAAUGUUGCGCGUACUCUUUACUUUGGGCAUUACUUUUGGAGAAUUGACAUUUUUGAAGAGUCAGAACAAUAUAGAUUUAAGAAAGAAGAAGAAAAUGAUGAGAUGAAGUCUAAUAUGUUUUUGACAUAUUUAUCUCAUUCACGUCCAGGUCUAACAUGGCAUUAGAGCUCUUUCACUUGGUCAUGAGUUUGAAACUUAAAAGAUCAAUCUAAUGAGCAGUAUACAAAAAAGUUAAAUUAGUUGUAGGAAAAGGUAAUCUUAAAAAAAAUGUUAUGUUUUCUUCCUACUUAAAUAUAUGAAUUGUUCUACCAACUACUUUUGAAACUCAUAUUUCAGUGAUAUUACUCCAUAUACUAUCUCUUGAUGCAUUAUGAACAAAAAGAGGGCUCCAAGUAUCUUUCACAUAUUUCACAUUUCAUCAGAAUUUUCAUUACCAUCAUUAAACUUUUAGUCAUUUAAAUAAUAAACUCUUAUUAUGCAAUCUUAGAUUUCUUAUUCUCACACCUCCAACCUUCUUGUGAAUCAUUACUUUUUUUUGUCAUUUAAUAACUUUAGUUCUCUUGUAUUACGCCUUUCCACAUGAGGUCACUUUUUAUGGUAUUCAAAUUUUCCUCAUAUAACCAUGCAACUUUAACAAAAACAAUAAGUAGGUUGAAAUUUUAUCCAACACACUAUUAACUGAAGUGAGUCUGCCAUCGAAAGACAAUUUUUUUUUUCAAGAAGUCAUCUUAUUGAGACAUCUAUUUAAUAUCUCAGUCAGAUACUUUUGGCAUUCUUCUUUGCACCUCAAGAAAGUCCCAAAUAUAGGUAACUCUUUAACCUUUCAUCUAAUUCCUAUAUAAAAUCUCUGAGGUAAAUCCUCUAUACAAUGGUGUUGUACAUAAUACUCCUAUUUAAUUUGCUCAUUUUAAGUGCUUUUGAAUUUAAGCUCAUUUUUUGUAGUGUUUGAUUGCCAGAAAAGGCAAAAAAAAAAAAUUAAAUCUAAAAGUUGGGUAUAACCAACUUAUGACUUUUAGCUUUUAGCUUAGAAGUCAUCUUGUAAAAGCAAUCCAAACACCCUCUUAGCCAGAUUCACCCUUGAACCAGUUACUAUCCCAAAAGUUAGGAGAAUUCCUCCAUGAACAUAUCAACAAAAUGACAUUUGCAUAUAAAAUAUGAGAAAUUGUACAUGGUGCACCUCCCAUUCUAUCAACCUGCAACCUCUUUACCCAAUCCAAAUUCUCACCUUUUUUUAGCUUUAUGUUGAGAGUCUCUAUCAUCGAAACAAACAAAUAUGGGGACAAAACUCCAUCUUAGCACUCUAAAAGAUUUUAAGAGAUCUUGAGGGUUUCCAUUGAUGAGAAAUGAAUUUUCACUAUAUAUAUGCAGAAUUCAAUCUAUUUGAAUCUCUGUCUUUUUUCAAAAUUCAUGUGUUUUAUGAUGUCUAUAAACACGGUAAACUGAAAAUUUCAUUUUUUUCAUCAUUAUAGGAUUAUGUCUCUUGCAUCAAACUAAACCUGACAAUAUAUGAAUCAUCACAGAAAGUUUCAGCUAAAACUUUAUGUUUGUGCAUUAAUGUACACGACUGGAAAAAAUAACAAUAGUUUUACUCAAAAAGUCAUGACUAACAUCUCCAUUAUAAUUCAAAAACUAAUAAAAUAAAUAACGAAGAGAAUGUGAUUGUACUGCAGAAGAUGUGUGAUUAACUUUUAGAAUAAGAUACCUGUCAAAAUAGGCCUUGAAUCUCCACAAACAUCUUUCAUUGGUCAAGUGCAUCACGGAAGACCCUACUUUCCUCCUUGUUUUAAACUGAGUAGAUUUUUUCAGGGUUAAGCUUUCUUGCUCAAAGAAUAGAGUGAAUGUCAUAAAACAUUAAUAUGACAUCUAUAUACUUUACAAUGUGAAUAAACAUGCUAGUAAAACUUCAUAUAUACACCAAAUAGAAAUAAUAAAUGCUAUAAUUACUUUGUAGUAUGCGUAGGAGUGCAUCUCAUUUACCUACCCUUAAGCCUAUCAUAUGGCAACAUCAUCACCAUUUUAAGGAAAAUAAAUCGAAAGCUCAUUUUAUUGUUUAAAACAUACAAUUACAUAUUAAGGUUUUAAACUAAAACUAAAAUUCCUUACCCCUAUUUACGUCAUCAAAUGUUUUCGGCAUCUUCAUUCAAAUUACUUAAAUAUUAGUAACAUUUACUCGACAAAUAGCAUAUAAACUUAUUUAAUAAAAUUCAUAGUAGAAAAACUAACAACAAUUAAUUUAUCAUUGGCCUAGUAGUACUUAAUACACAUCACUUGAGUCGAAAGAUGAAUAAAUAGCAACUCUUAAUAUAAUAUCUCUAUUUAUGAAGGUAAAUGCUACUUACACUAACCUCACUUAGUUGAAAUAAGUGAAAACAUAUAGGUAGACUUUUUCAUGUCAAUCGAUCCUCCUAACCUGUACACAUAUACACAACAAAGUUAGACUAUACAUACAUUUUUACUCAUGCAAGUUAUAAAAAGGUGUUACAUUUUGUUGUAGGAGUAUCACCACUUGAUACAGCUUGAACAUCAAAUAUCUAGCUAAACGCAUUUCAAAUAAAUAUUUAUUUAACAAAAAUGAUAUAUAAUGCAUAUUAUAAUUAUUGAAUAGUUCUUUCUAGUGAAUGUGAAUAAUGCAUCCUUGGAAUUAUUAAAUGAGAGAUGAUUUCCUAAUAGAAUCCUUAAGGGGGCAUUUCAUCAAACACCUUGGUAGUGUGAAAGUUCUUCCUUCAAAUUCAGAUCUCAUAAAAGCAUUUGAACACUCACCCAAAAUGCAAGUAUAAGUCUUCUAAUAAAACAUGAAGAGCAAAAUCCAAUAUNNNN
Molecule: long non-coding RNA, 72644 nt
Filed under: Solanum tuberosum (potato)
Lineage: Eukaryota; Viridiplantae; Streptophyta; Magnoliopsida; Solanales; Solanaceae
Description: long non-coding RNA (STUB_LNC003925)
Source: RNAcentral